ACGGUGGUGACUUGUAAACUGGUGCAGGAUGAUACGGUGUUGGUGAAGGAUGGUAUGGCUUCACCGGUGGUGGUGGUGACUUGUAAACUGGAGUUGGUGGUGGUGGGGACUUGUAAACUGGGGUGUGUGGAGGAUAGUAUGGCUUCUUGGGUGGUGGUGGUGACUUGUAAACGGGAGUUGGUGGUGGUGGCGACUUGUAAACCGGGGUAUGUGGGGGAUAGUAUGGCUUCUUGGGUGGUGGUGGUGACUUGUAAACGGGAGUUGGUGGUGGUGGUGACUUGUAAACGGGAGUGUGUGGGGGAUAGUAUGGCUUCUUGGGUGGUGGUGGCGACUUAUAAACUGGAGUUGGUGGUGGUGGCGACUUGUAAACCGGGGUGUGUGGGGGAUAGUAUGGCUUCUUGGGUGGUGAUGGUGACUUGUAAACGGGAGUGUGUGGAGGGUAGUAUGGCUUCUUGGGUGGUGGUGGUGAUUUGUAAAUCGAAGUUGGUGGUGGUGGCGACUUGUAAACUGGAGUGUGUGGAGGGUAGUAUGGCUUCUUGGGUGGUGGUGGAGACUUAUAUACAGGGUGGUGGGGUGGUGAUGGAUAGACAUGCACUGGUGGAGGAGGAGACUUGUAGAGGUAUGGUUCCUUAGGUGGUGGUGGAGAUGAGUAUUGAUAAUUUGCUGAGCUUUCAGAAGCUAAGCUCAGCGACACUAAAACCACUAAAAGAGAGGCAAAUAGAGAGGCCAUUUUCCCCAUCUUUGAAACAAAUGAGAAAAGUUGUUGUCCUCUUAAGCUUCACUCCGACCCCUUUAUAUAGCUUUCAAUGAUACAAUUACCCUUUUCAAGAUUUUCAUAAAUGAAGGUAAAAGUCUCACUAGAUUACUUAAAACCUACCGAAGUAAAAAAGCUAGAGUAUGCAUUUUGAUUUGGUUUUGUCAUGUUGUCGGCUCAAAUUGACUUGAGUUGGUAUACUUUUUUUGUUCGAUAGAGGCUGCAAGCUAAGCAUAGCUGGAAUUAAUAAACUAUUAUGGCAGCUAUACUAUUUCUGAUGCAAGAAUUUAAAGAGAAAAGUCUCCUUUACUUUCUAUCUUUUUAUACAGUACCGAAGCUUUGAAAAACAAGUGUGGAUGCCUCAACUUUGCACGAUUUCAGUUGCAGAAAUCUGAGCAGAUAGCUUUUUUAUAUGUCUCUUUUAACUUUAAUAAUGUUCUGUUCACAUGUAUGACUAAUUUCAAAAAAGAAAAACUAUGAAACUUGACAUUUACUACCGAAAUCACAAAGAGUGAAAUUAAUUCACUUGUAUCAGACAUUGAUAAAUUGAGUAAAGUUAAUAUUCAAGCAUGAUUAGUGUCAAUCAUUGUGUCGCUCUAAAAGGCUUUAUAUGUAAAUGAUUACCAAUACAGUAAAUUAAGUUAAAUUCUCCUUGUAUGAUUAAUGCUUCUAGUGAAGAAUCGGAUAUGGAUCUGACGACUCAGUUCAGCUUUGAACAAGUUAAGUUUUUUCACUUGAUGUUGAAGAGUUGAUGUAAUUUAAUUCUCGUGUACUUCUGACUGGUUAACUAACCUUCACAUGUGCUCAAGAAGCAUAUCAGGAUCUUUUAGUCUAUCCUAAUUCUCAAGCUAUAAAAAAUAGGGAAUAGUAGAGAAAUUAAACACAAUACAUUAUAUUAAGAGAUAUAAUUGAUCAAGAACCAAUUAAUACUUUGAUAGUAUACAAAUACCACUGUGCACUUUCAAUCAACGUAUAAGAAUCAGUAACUUAACUUAGAUCAUGAACUCCUACACUUUGGUGUUUUGUCAGAUUUUGAUUUUAUGCCCCCCUCCUUUGUAUUAUCUAUUUCGGUUUAACUUUAGGGUAAGCGUCCAAAUCACACCUCCCACCACCUCGGGAGGCAUAAGCUCUGCUGAAUGGAUUCAAGGGGGGAAAAAAUCCACCACCCCUCAACUUGGAGGGGAGUGGAUUCACAGGGACUCAAUGCUCGAAGCUCGUUGGAUUCACACUAGUUGAAAUAAAAUCUGGUGGAGUACCCGGCAAUCGCUUGGGCCGACGUGCAUAAUCAGUAACAAUAAAAAAUCAGAGUCGAAGACGAUCAAUUCGGGGCCCCUUCCGGGUUCGUUUACCCAGUCAGAGCCGUCGACAUAAUCAAGAGAGACAUUGAUCGUGAACCAAGGUCAAACAGGGAUCGAUAUCAGCCAUACAAUGGAGACCGAAGAGAUAGCGGUUCUGAGUCAAACCCCAUGAAAAGUGAAAGAAGGAGUGAUCGGGGUCAAAGCAAUCGGGGACUCAUAAGCAAAAAUAGUUUCAACGGGCCCAUCGGGCAUAAGGAGGCGCCAAGGCUAUCAGAGUACAACUUUAACGUCGACGCCGCAACCAUCGUAUCUGCCAUUAGACGCAUCAAAGACACCAAAUAGUCUCGACCUCUACAGUCCGAUCCAUCCCAAAGAGAUCCUAACCUGAUGUGUAAAUAUCAUGGCACUCAUGGCCACAGAACAAAAGAUUACCGACAAUUAAGAGAGGAGGUAGCCCGGCUAUUCAACAACAGACACCUCCAAAAGUUCCUGAGCGAUCGAGCCAAGAACCACUUUAGGAACUGAGAUUCUAGUAAACAGAUCGAGCAGGAGGAACCUCAGCACAUCAUUAACAUGAUCAUCGGUGGGGUCGACGUUCUCUAGGGGCCGAUGCUGAAGCGCACCAAAGUAUCCAUCACAAGGGAAAAACCUACUCGGGAUUAUGUGUCGGAGGGAACCUUGUCCUUCAACGACGAAGACGCUGAGGGAAUCGUGAAACCCCACAAUGAUGCACUGGUAAUGUCAAUACUUAUAAAUAAAUCUCGAGUUAAGCGUGUGUUAAUUGAUCCAGUUAGCUCGGCGAACAUCAUAAGAUCGAGGGUCGUGGAAUAGCUCGGCCUACAAGAUCAGAUCGUGCAUGCGGUUCGAGUCCUAGACGGGUUCAACAUGGCAUGUGAGACCACUAAAUGGGAGAUAACAUUACUAGUGAACACUGCCCGGACCGUUCAGGAAAUAAAGUUCUAUGUGAUCGAAGGGGGACAUAAGGUACAAUGCUUUGUUUGGGGGACCAUGGAUUCACAACAUGAGGGAGGUACCCUCGAAUCUUCACCAGGUAUUGAAGUUCCCGAUGUUGAAAUGAAGAAAAAUAGUUUAUGGAGAACAACCGUCCACAAAAGAGACGUUCGCGAUCGACAAGGUGUUCCCGAUAUCCACACAUUCGACACCGAAGGAGCUGGGUCCAGUCACCAAGGGAGAAACCAAAUAGCAACUAUUGACACCGACUCUGUCCUAACCAGAGAAGCAGGAGAUGGGCGAGGAUGACGACUACGGGGUUUCAAUUUCUUUCAUUGCUCUCGACGAUUCCGAUGCUACCAAAUCAACGGUCGAGGAACUGGAGCAAGUCGUACUGAUCGAACACUUGUCCGAUCGAAAGGUAUACCUGGGCACGGGGUUGAAUCCCGAUCUCAGGAAAAAACUCAUUCAAUUUAUUAUAGCUAACGAAGAUUUUUUUACUUGGCCCCACCUUGAUAUGAUAGGGAUCACACCAGAAAUAACCACUCUCCACAAGGAGGGAGUCGCACUUAGCUUCGAACAUCUCUACCUCCAAGAUUUUGGCCAGUUCGAGACCUGCAAUAAUGGCCUCAUACUCGGCCUCAUUGUUAGUAAAUUUUAUAGUCCUAAUGGAUUGUCUAACUACAUUACCUGUGGAUGAUUUCAAUACAAUUCCAAGUACAGACCCCUUUGCGUUCGAGACGCCAUAUGUAAAGAGGGUCCAUAUUCCUGAAGAAGUCCUCGAGCUUAAUAACAAAUCUUUCUCGACCUCGGGUAUUAGGGUCGGCGUAAAGUCGGCUACAAAGUCUGCCAAAAUUUGAGAUUUAAUAGCUGUCCGAGGCCGAUAUUCAAUAUCGUACCCGCUGAUCUCUACGGCCUAUUUGGCCAACCAUCCUGAGAGUUCGGGUUUAUGUAUUACAUUCCUUAAUGGGUAAGUGGUUACAACACAUAUGCGGUGAUAUUGAAAGUACAGUUUCAACUUCCUAGAGGCGCUUAGCAAAGCGAGCGCCAAUUUUUCUAGGUGAGGGUAUCUAGUUUGGGCCUCACCUAAAGUCCUGCUAACAUAGCAAAUUGGAAAUUACGUACCUUUCUCUUCCCGGAAUAGGACACCACUUACCGCUAUCUUUGAUACUGUCAAGUAUAAGUAUAGUUGUUUGUCUGUCUUCGGUGUGUGAAAAAGUGAUGGGCUCGAUAGAUAUCGCUUGAGCUCUUUCAAGGCUUGUUGGCAAUCCGAGGUCCAUGAGAACUUAUUCUUUUUCUUCAACAGUGAGAAGAACCGGUGGCUUUUGUCGGAGGACCUCGAAAUAAAGCGUCCCAAGGCGGCUAUGCAUCCGGUUAACCUUUAUACGACCUUCACAUUGUCCACAACAGUGAUAUUUUCGAUGACCUUGAUCUUAUCAGGAUUGUUCUCGAUUCCCCNNNNNNNNNNNNNNNNNNNNNNNNNNNNNNNNNNNNNNNNNNNNNNNNNNNNNNNNNNNNNNNNNNNNNNNNNNNNNNNNNNNNNNNNNNNNNNNNNNNNNNNNNNNNNNNNNNNNNNNNNNNNNNNNNNNNNNNNNNNNNNNNNNNNNNNNNNNNNNNNNNACUUAACCAACAUACUGUCAUGUAACUUCCAUUGAUUUUCUAUUUGUUCUCGACAUCCGAUUUACAGGCGUUGGUAGUGGCGCCGACGGCUUUUUAUCCUGAAUGGCAAUANGUUAUAGCAGUAGGUGUUGUACUUGGUGAUGAAGAAAGUUUUUUUCCUGAUCACCCGGGUUCAUCCGAAUUUGGUUGUACCCGAAAUAAGCAUCGAGAAAAUUAAGGAUCUCGUGGUCGGCCGUUGCACCGAUCAUGCGAUCGAUGUUAGGCAAAGGGAAAGAGUCCUUGGGACACACUUUAUUCAAGUCUUUAUAGUCCACACACAUUCUUAAUUUGUUCCCCUUUUUGGGGACUACUACUAUGUUUGCUAACCAGUCCGGGUAUUUAACCUCCCGAAUGGACCCUAUUUUAAGGAGUUUAGAUACCUCGCCUUUGAUGAAAGCAUGUUUGACCUCGGACUGGGGUCUCCUCUUUUGCUUGACCGGGUGGAACUUCGGGCCCAGGCUAAGUCAAACGACCUCGAAGUCCAGCACCGGGGCCACCCCAUUCUCGUUGGUUUAUGGCACCGAAGCUCUAAUACCGGUCGAAGUCAAAGAUCCUAGUCUCAGGUUCCGAUAUGCAACCGAAGAAUUAAAUAACGAGACCAUGAAUACGAUCCUGGAACUGUUAGAUGAAAGGCGUGAAGCAACCCUCGUCCGGAUGGCCGCCCAAAAAUAACGGAUUGAGAGGUAUUACAAUCGAAGAGUCAACCUUCGACACUUUAAUGUCAGGGACUCAGUGUUGAGGAAGGUCACAUUAAACACCUAGAACCCGAAUGAAGGAAAGCUGGGGCCGAACUGGGAAAGCCCAUAUCAAAUUAUCGAGAUCACCGGAAAAGGGUCGUACAAACUCGGAGCAAUGAAUGGUGAGCGACUACCAAACAUCUAGAACAUAAUUCACUUGAAACGAUAUUACUGCUAAGGUACGACCCCGUUUACUUCUUUUAUUUAUUUACAUUUUGGACUAACGCUUGCAGGUAACCGUCAAAGAACGAUACAAUUUUCUAGGCCUGAAAGCACGCGUUGCACUCUUUUUUCCUUGAACCGGUUUUGUUCCAAAUGGGUUUUCCGACAAGGUUUUUAGCGAGGCAAUAAUGGAUCGUGCUAACUUAGAAUCGAGGACCGGUUAUCAACAAUAUCCGAGGCUUCUCUAUGAUCGACCUCGAACACUGGAGGGCAUCACCCUCAGAUAAUGAUUUUGGCAGAGGAAGAAACUUUGUACACGAAUAGUCUAGCCUUGAUCGAUAGGAUUUACUGUAAGGGCCAAACAGUCAAAUAAACCAUGCCCACAUAAAUCGUCCGAGCCCGGACACAAAGCUUGAACACAUGUGUAACUUUGUAUAUUACGCACAAAAAUGAAAGGAAAUUUCUACCUUGCGAAUAAAUAUUUUGCCCCUUCAAAAUUUUUCUUUCUUACAUUUGAUCCCCGAAAAGACAUCGAGCCCAAGGGCCACCUCACUCGGGGACUGUCACCCAAGGCAGGUUCGGACGGCUCGGGAUAAUGAAACCUGAGGGCACAAAGCUUAUUAGGUAGUUCCCAAACUUUAAAGGCUACGGCCACCGCCAUUCGGCAGCGGUUAUCUCGGUUAAGCCCGGAUGACUCAGGGUAACAAGCUCACUGGGAAACCGUCUUACAACGGCUCGGAGAUAUCCGAGACCCGUUCAAAAGGCUACCCUCGGAAAAUUGUAAUCUAAAAAAUUCUAAGUACUUCGAGAAAAUCUUUCAGUCAUACCGAGCCCCCCACUAUUCUUAAACAAAAUAGUAUCAAGAGCAAGGCAUGUUCGAACCUCCGAACAAGACCUAAUUAUUACAUGUUAAGGCAUUCUUUACAAUCAUAAAAAAAAAGAGCGAAAAGAAACAAGCUUAAAAAGUGUCGAAGGGAAAAAGAGCCUUAUAUAUAUAUAUUUAAAGAUCUUUAAAAGGGCCAAGCGUCCUCGACAAAGAGGUACAAAAGUACAAAAACAAAGAAAAAACUACAAGGCAUUUAAACGGUUUGGUCUCCACCGAAGCCCGCCUCAUCAUCGGGACCAUCAGAAUCGUCUCCGCUCCCGGAUCCGCCCUAACGCUCGGAGUUUUCUUCAUCCUCGGGAUACGCCAACUUUUUGGCCUCGACCUCGAGCCCCUUAGCUCUUUCGACCUCGACCGACAAAUCAAAACCCCGAGCAUAAACUUCCUCGAGGGCCUCCCUUCGGGACUGUCACUUCACGUAUUCGACAAUAUCUUUCAGGUGGUCCUGGGCUACCUCGACAUCAGCUUUAUAUUGGGCCACCAUCUCAUCGACAUCGUCUUUGGUUACUUUAAACACUAACUUAGCCGCUUUAAGCUCCUUGGCAAGAGUCUCUCGAUCGACAACAGCUGAGCUUAGCUAAGACUGUAGCUCCUCAAUUUUUUGGGACCGUGCCUCAUCCUUCUCCCUUGUCGCUCAAAGUUGGGCCUCCGCCGAGGUCAACUAAGCCCAGGACGUCUCCUUUUACGAGGCCAGGCAGUCCAUCCUGCCUCUUCACUCUUCAGCCUCGACCUUGACUACAUCUAUCUCAGCUCGGAGUUGGUCGAUCCGAUCAAUCUUCUGUUUUACUUGCGGGUUCCGACCAUUAUUCACCGUGUCUAGAUCAUCAUCACUAACUUCAAAGUUUUUUACCUAUUCAACCAGGUCGGCGUGUUCAUUCUGAGCUACUUCCAGCUCAGCUCGAAGGCUCUUAGCCUCUCCUUCAUGCUGCUCGUUGAGAAGUUUGUACGUCUCUCUUCUCAGUAAGUUCUCUAACUUCGGCUUCGAGUUGGUUCAGCUCAUCCCGAUACUGGAGAAAAGUUUCAUGGUGAAGCACCGAGGCCUACAAAUAUGAAGAAAAAUAUUAGGAUUAUCAAUGAACUAGUGCAAGUAUAGGAGGAGAAAUUGAAAUCAUCAAGAGUUAUCUAGAGUUACCCGGUUCAGCGCUUGUUGUGGUUCAUUGAACAGACAGGGCACGUCUACCUCGUUCAUUUUUUCCUGGUCUUCUUCGGUCACCAGGCACCAAAGAUAAUUGGUCACCUCUACGGGGGUUGAAAGAACCCGGGCAUCCUCUAUAACGGUGAUGACAAUGGACCGCUUCCGAUCAGGAUCCACACUUGGGGCAGGGAACCGGUUGAUCCAUUUCGGGCUCAAGUUAGGUCCACCUACCCCCGAGGACAUACUCUUCUUCGGUACCUCUAAUUCUCUCAAUCCAGUGACGUCCUCCGUGGCGGUGGAAUCCAUAUGCCCCAUGGGCCUCCUUUAAGUCACCCAAGCAGCAGAGGGGGUCGUCCGCACCAUGGGCCCCCUCGUUAGGGAGCUCUUUCACCGUUUGGGCCUCGUUGUACAUGGACUCAGUAAACGAGGGUGACUCGGUGAUUUCUAUGACACCGAGUGCCUCUUUUGGGGCACUGCCCACAUCCCGGGAAGCCUCUGCCCUGGUCUCCUCAUCGACCUCCCUGGCUUGAGGCAUAUCGGCCUCACGGAUCUCUGGUUCAGAGGCCCCCUGCUCUUCGAGCCGCGAUGGCUCACGGGCCACCAGAACAAAAUGGUUCUUCUUCCUCGGGUUCUUCCCUCAGUUGGUAGAGCGAAUCCGAAGUCGGUACUCGGGCGCUGGUGUUUUCUUUCGACUUGUGCACCAGUCUUCUCCUUGUUUUCUUUUUCUCCGAGCUUGGAGAACUCGGAGCCCUCUUCCUUUUCCUCUCUUCGGCAUGUAUCAGAUCUGGGGACUCGCCAGGUAAGUUCUCGCCACCGACUGGAGGCCGAAGCUCGACAUCCUUAGAUAAAACUGUAAAAACAAGUUAAGGGAGUAAGGGCUUAAUGUUAAUUGGAGAGUCCUAAUACAACUUACUCAGAGAAGAAGUCUUACCGUGGGAAUGGGCCUCCCAACGGCCCUUCGAGAGUUUGCUCCAUGAGCGCUCGAAAUAGGGCAUUUGAGAAAUGAUACCCUCGACCCACUCCUUGAGUCGAGGGACAACAUUUGGGACCCGAGCGAUGGCUACACCAUCACAAAACACCGAUAAGGAAAAGAGAAGUAAAUAAUAAAUCGACAUUCAAAAGUAAGUUAUACUUAUGUGACGUAUUCCACUUCUCGAGAAAUGGCCUUCACUCAUCUCGGAUCAAGUCCGAAGUCAUCACUCGGACAAAACGGCCUUGCCAGCCUUGAUCCCGGUCCUCAUCAAUACUUGAGAACGGGGCCUUACUGGCCUAACGCACAUGCUUUAUCAGUCCCCCGGGAAGAUUCGGGGACUGUAUAAGCAGAGUAGAUGAUCGAUGGUGAACGAGCACCCAUCAAUUUUAUUCACAAAAUACCGGAGGAGGAUCACGAUCCUCCAGAGUGAUAGAUGAAUCUAUCCUAGGUACACGUUAUACCUCCUACAGAAAUCCAAAAUGACCGGGUCCACUCGACCCAAUGUAAAGGGAUAAGUGUAAAUACUUAAAUAUUCCUCGACAUAGGUGGUGAUGGCCUCUUCGGGGACGGGUACCACUAUGUCUUUAUCAGCCUAAUUGCAAUAUUUUCGGACUGUAGGGAGGACCUCCUCGGUAAUCGAGUAGAUGUAUCUCGAAACCUUCUCGUACUGACCCUGUAUGGAGGAAGGAUUUUCAACCUUGAAAUCAACGUUGACCGAACAUCUCCCGGGGAUGAACAUUUUUAAAGGGGGUUCGGGCACUGAUUCAUCAAUGGCCGCACGCGGAGCAGUCUCCUCGACCUCAGUAGCCGACCGUGAAGUAGAAUGAGCUUCUUCUUGGGGAACGGUUUUGGAAGUCCUUUCCAUUUCUUUAGAAAAUGAAGAUGGAGGAAAGUCUGAGAAAUAUGAAGAAAGAAAGAAAGUUGAAGGAUUAGACUUGUUGGCUUGAGAUGAAGAUGGGUAAAAAUUCUUGUAAGGACCUCGAAUAACCGGGGUAAAAGUGCUAAAGAGUAUUGAAAUCCUAAAGGUACGAGGGUAGAAGGUGUGGAUGUAAAGUAAGAAUGAAUAAAUGAGGGGGUAUUUAUUGUAGUUCAGCGGCGAUUCACAUCUUAGGCGGCCGACCAACGGCUGACAUGCAUUUAAUGCCAUUAUGACUUGACUAACGAGAGAUUUCAGUUGUUUUGUCAUUUUCGUCACGAUGUUUCGAAGUAAGAAUCGGAAGCUCAUGUCGUUUCUCAUCGUUUACUCUCUGUAAAACGAGGGGACUGUUUGUAUACGGGUGAAAUCGAGCUCAUGGUGCAUCCUAGCCUCCGACAAAAUAAGCCAGGCUCGAGACAUGGCAAUAAGGGACCGAAAUCGAGCCAAAGUCCCACCGGGCUAGAACCCGGGGACGUGACGCCUACCUUCGAAAAUAUCGAAGCCAUGGUCCUGGAAUAGGUCCUAGCCUCGAACAACUUCGAAGAAUAUUGUUAGACAAUCCAACAUAGCCAACAGAAGGCCAAAAUAUCUGUGACCGUCCGAAUAUUACAGCGGAAAUCUCGACAUAUAUCGAUAAGGAACCGACAAUCAGUGAAUUAGAGAUUUUUUAUCUUUUGCAGAUAUGUACCUAAAAUAAGACUCCCCUACUAUAGAAAGGGAGUCUGAUAGUGCAUGAAGUGUAUGAUAACAUGCAUUCAAAAGCAAUAUAUUAUUAUUUUCUCUGUCUUUAGCUCUUGUUCUUUUUUCAACGGUUUACCGGUCGUGGCGAGCCCGGCUCGAGAACGGCUAUUUCACUAAGGCUGAAACUAUUCAACUCGUGUGGUUUGAAUUUAUUUUAUCUUUAUUUAUUCUAUAGUAAUUUAAUUUAUUGCUUUGUAUCAAGUUAAUCCGCAUAUUCUUAAAAUUACUUACAAAUUUAAUUGUUAUCCUAUUUUGAGGGUAAACAUAUAUCUAAUUCAAUCCAAUAUUUCUGAAAAUGUUAGUUAUCAUAGUUUAUCAUCAUGGGAACAGACCAGAGGUACAAAAAACCAUGUUCAAGCAAUGGACUAAAGUUGCGAAAAGUUAUCCAAAAGCAAAGGAAAAAUGGCAUCCAGGAGGAUCCAGACAUACAACAUUCAUGCUCAAAUUGUGCUAAGACCAAUGUAUUUGAGUAUCACAAUGAUAGCUUUUUUAAAUAAUUUAGGAGAGAGGAAAAUUAACCUAGGAAAUGUUGAGGAUAUUAUUAACAUUUAUUUGCUAAAGGUACUAACAACAGUCUGUGAAAUGAGAAGAUCCAUUUGAAUGGAUGAAUAAUGAAAGGAGUGUCUUGAAAACGAAAUAUGGAAAUUAUACAAAUAUUGCAUUUGUUUAUCAUUUAAUUAAUUACUUGUAUAAUAUAUAGCAAUUGAUGCCUACUGUCGUUGGUAUAUGAGAAGCUAAGGACCUUAAUUUUCAAAAGCGUGUACGAGUUUUUAUAGUAAAUUGCUGAAGGCAAAAACUAAUAUAAUAGGAAUCCUAUCACCUUAACAAAUGAACAAUAAUUUGUUAGCUUAAGAGUGUAUACUGUCAUAAUUGAGCUUGCCCUUCAUAUGAUUAAUCGAGACUGGAACAUGAUAGAUCAAGGUUCAACCUCGUAUAAUAUCAAGUUAUGAUACGAAGUUAGGUUGCCGAGCUCGUGACCCAGAGACCGACCAAGAUCAAGAUUGGCCAAGAUCGAGAUCGAGCAAAAUAGAAAUUGGUCGAGACCGAGCAAAAUAGAAACCGGUCGAGAUCAGUCAAGAUUGAGACCGAGCAGAAUAGAGACCGGUCGUGAUCGGCCAAGAUCAAGACCGAACAAAAUAGAGACCGAUCAAGAUCAUGAUCGGCCAAAAUUGAGAUCGAGCCAAGAAACAAAAAAAAUGGUAUAUCCGCAAUCAGGGGAAAAAUCUCGGCGAAAAUCCCGGCGAAUAUCAAGGAGAGAUAAAUUAAUUAAUCUAUCAUGGGAUUUCUUCUGUAUUGAGAAUUAUAUUCAAAGUAAGACUUCCUCACUAUAUAAGGGGGUUAGAUCAUUUGUAGUGGGAGGAUAUUUUUUAGGCAAUAAAAAUAACACAUUACCUUCUUUAAGCUUUAAGAUUUUGUUACUCUAUUCAUACAUGGGCAGAAUCCUUACUUGUUUUGAGGGUGACCGAACUUCAGGGCUAAGACUAAUUGAUUCAUUUGGUUUGCAUUUAUCUCUUUUAUAGUUAAUUUCAGCACUGAUUUAUAUAUUUUCUCGGCUUGUACCAAGUUAUAUAACGUAUGCUUAGAGCCGCGUAUAAAUUCAAUUGUUAUCCAUUUUUUGGAUAAACAAUUUGGCGCCCAUCGUGGUUAUUUGAUACAAAUCUCUGUAAAACACACUAUUUUACACUUGCUCUUGGAGGUAUCUUUGAUUUCAGGUUGAAAAUUAUAAACUCUCAAUUAAUGCCCCUAGAUAUCGACAACGAAUCUGGCCAUCAAGGUGAUAAUAACAAUGUGACGCCCGGGGAUGAAGAGCCACCCGCUGACCCCGUUGGGACUCGGGUCGUGGUUCCGAUUGACGUUAAUUCGCAUGUGGCUGUCGAAGCGAACCAACAUUCCAGUCCCGAAGAUAGCUUCCAUGGUGGAACCCGAUCUGCAGUUCAAAAUACCCAAAAUAUUGGAGAAGACGGGAUCAGCAUGUGUAUGAUCUUCAAAAUGCUGCAAGCUCAAUAGGUGGCGAUAGCUCAGUUGUAGAGCCAAACCUAGGCACCGAGCAUGGCUGAGCCCGGUCCACCCCAAGAAGUCACCCACAAAACGGGACCAGCUAUGGUAAGGUCAAAUAGACAAGAAUCGGGGACUAAUCCCGAAAUUAUAAAAAUGCUAGAGGAACUGACAAAGCGGAUAGAGUCAAGGGAAAAGAAGAUCGAAGAAAACGACAAAAAAGUAGAAACUUAUAACUCCAGGGUUGAUCAGAUCCAGGGGGCACCACCAAUGUUGAAAGGUUUGGAUUCCAAAAAGUUCGUACAAAAGCCUUUCCCCCCGAGCGCGGCUCCCAAACCUAUCCCCAAGAAGUUUCAAAUGCCCGAGAUUUCUACGUAUAAUGGAAUGACCGACCCCAACGAGCAUAUCACCUCUUACAUGUGUGCCAUUAACGGGAAUGAUCUAGAGGACGACGAUAUCGAAUCCGUGUUACUAAAGAAAUUCGAGGAAACCCUAUCAAAGGGAGCAAUAAUAUGGUCUCAUAAUUUACCACCUAACUCUAUCGAUUCUUUUGCCAUGCUUGUAGAUUCUUUUGUAAAAGAACACGCCGGAGCUAUAAAGGUCGAGACUAGAAAGUCGGACCUUUUCAAGGUAAAGCAGAAAGAUAACAAGAUACUUAGAGAGUUUGUAUCUCGUUUCCAAAUGGAACAAACCGGUCACCGACUAUUGGGCCGUUCAAGCUUUACCCAAUGACUAAAUGAACGAAGUUUAGUAGCUUCACAACAGUUGAAGUAGAACUUGAUUAAGUACCCGACUAUUAUCUGGGCGGAUAUAUAUAAUCGUUAUUAAUCAAAGAUUAGAGUCGAAGAUGACCAGAUGGGGGUUCCUUCUGGAUCCGUUAGCAACACAGACGUCGAUCGAGAACCAAGAUUGAACAGGGAUCGAUAACAGCCGUAUAAUAGAGAUCGUAGGGGCAACAAACUUGGGCACAACUUUGUACGAGGUGAAAGGAAAAGUGAUCGAGGCCAUGGUUCUUGAGGGCUGAUGAGCAAGAAUGGUUUCGACAGAUAUACCGGACCUAAGGAAGCACUGCAAUUGUCGGAGUAUAACUUCAGUAUUGAUACAUUUGCCAUCGUAUGAGCUAUCGGACGCAUCGAAAAUACUAAAUAGCCUCGACCUCUGCAGAUCGAUCUAGCUAAGAGAAAUCCCAAUCAAGUAUGCAAGUAUCAUGGCACCCAUGGCCACAGAACGGAAGAUUGCAGGCAGUUGAGAGAAGAAGUAGCCCGGUUAUUCAAUGAAGGGCACCUUCGGGAGUUUUUAAAUGAUCGGGCCAAGAAUCAUUUCAAAAAUAGAGAGUUCAAUAGACAAAAUGAGCAAGAAGAACCGCAACACAUAAUUCACAUGAUUAUCGGAGGGAUCGAUGUUCCCCAAGGGCCAGUGUUAAAACGCACUAAGGUGUCAAUCAUAAGGGAGAAGCAAUCUCGAGCUCAGGAUUACAUACCGAAAGGAACCUCAUCCUUCAACGAUGAAGACGCAGAAGGAAUCAUGUAGCCCCAUAACGAUGCGCAGGUAAUAUAUGUACUCAUGNNNNNNNNNNNNNNNNNNNNNNNNNNNNNNNNNNNNNNNNNNNNNNNNNNNNNNNNNNNNNNNNNNNNNNNNNNNNNNNNNNNNNNNNNNNNNNNNNNNNNNNNNNNNNNNNNGUGCUAAACGGAUUCAACAUGCCAUGUGAAACUACUAAGGGCGAGAUAACUUUGCCAGUAAACGUGGCCGGGACCAUCCAAGAGACGAAGUUCCAAGUGAUCGAGGGCGACAUGAGGUAUAAUUCCCUAUUCGGGAGACCAUGGAUCCACAAAAUGAGAGCAGUACCCUCGACCCUUCACCAGGUUCUAAAAUUCCCAACACUAGAGGAAAUUAAAACAAUCUACAUGGAGCAACCCGCCGCAAAGGAAAUGUUUGUUGUUGACAAAGUGAUUCCCAUGCCAUCACUCUCUUCGACAAGGGGGUCAAAUUUGAAGGGAAAAUAGGAGAUCAAAUAGCAAAUCACAAACGCCGGCCUCGAUCCAACUAGAGAAGAAGAGGACUGACGAAGAUGAUGAUUAUGGAGUCCCUCGAUCCUUCAUAGUCCCCGAUGAUUCCGACGCUACCAAAUUAGCGGUCGAAGAGCUGGAGAAAAUCAUACUAAUCUAACAUCUCCCUGAACGAAAGGUAUACCUAGGCACGUGGUUAAAUCCCGAGCUCAGGAAAAAGCUUAUUCAUUUUCUUAUAGCUAACAUGGAUUGUUUCGCUUGGUCCUAUCUUGACAUGACAGGGAUCCCACCGAAAAUCACCACCCAUAAACUAAGCUUGGACCCGAAGUUCCAUCCGGUGAAGCAAAAAAAGAGACCCCAGUCCGAGGUCAAACAUGCUUUCGUCAAAGACGAGUUAACAAAGCUUCUUAAAAUAGGGUUCAUCCGUGAAGUAAAAUACCCCGAAUGGUUAGCAAACGUAGUAGUAGUCCGUAAAAAGGAAACAAACUUAGAAUAUGUGUAGAUUACAAGGAUCUAAAUAAAGCAUGCCCCAAGGAUUCGUUUCCUUUGCCUAAUAUCGAUCGCAUGAUCGAUGCCAUGACCGGCCACGAGAUCCUCCAUUUUCUCGAUGCCUAUUCCGGGUACAACAAAAUACAUAUGAACCCAGAUGAUCAGGAAAAGACCUCGUUCAUCACUAAAUGUAAUUCCAUUUGGAUUAAAAAAAACACUGGUGCCACUUAUCAACGCCUAGUAAAUCGGAUGUUCGAAGAACAAAUAGGGAAAUAUAUGGAAAUUUACAUUGAUGACAUGCUAGUUAAGUCCCUGUGAGCAGAGCACCAUUUAAAGCACUUGCAGAAAACUCUCAGUAUAUUGAAUAAAUACAACAUGAAGCUGAACCCCGAAAAAUGCGCAUUUGGGGUCGGGUCAGGCAAAUUUCUCGGGUUCAUGGUAUCCAACCGAGGAAUCGAGAUUAAUCCUGACAAGAUCAAAGUUAUCGAUGGCAUCACGGUGGUAGACAGCGUAAAGGUCGUGCAGAGGUUAACCGGGCGCAUGGCCUCCCUGUAGAGAUUCAUCUCGAGGUCCUCCGAUAAAGGCCACCGAUAUUUCUCGUUGCUAAAGAAGAAAAAUAAUUUCACAUGGACCUCAGAAUGCCAGCAGGCCUUGGAAGAGUUUAAACGGUUCUUAUCGAGCCUGCCACUGCUUCACACGCCAAGGGCAGACAAACAACUUUACUUAUAUUUGGCAGUAUCGGAGAUAGCGGUAGUAGAGCCCUAGUCUAAGAAGAACAAGGUACGCAAUUUUCUAUUUAUUAUGUCAGUCGGACUUUAGGUGAGGCCGAAACUAGAUAUCCCCACCUAGAAAAAUUGGCGCUCGCUUUGAUAAGCGCCUCUAGGAAACUAAAACCAUACUUUCAAUGUCACCCCAUAUGUGUUGUAACAACUUAUCCACUUCGAAAUAUUUUACAUAAACCCGAGUUUUCGGGACGGUUGGCCAAAUAGGCCAUAGAAAUCAGCAGGUAUGAUAUCGAAUAUCGACCCCGAACAACAAUUAAGUCUCAAAUUUUGGCAGACUUUGUAGCUGACUUCACCCCGGCCCUAGUAGCCGAGGUCGAAAGAGAACUGUUGAUAAAUUCGGGUACGUCCUUAGGAAUUUGGACCCUCUUCACGGACGGUGUUUCGAACGCGAAAGGGUCCGGGCUCAGCAUCAUACUAAAACCACCCAUAGGCAACAUGGUUAGACAAUCUAUUAGAACUGUGAAAUUGACUAACAAUGAGGCCAAAUAUAAGGCCAUGAUUGCAGGUCUCGAACUAGCCAAAGGCUUGGGAGCAGAGGUGAUCGAAGCCAAAUGCGACUCCCUCAUCAUAGUGAAUUAGGUAAAUGCAAAGAUACCUAUAUAAGUUACAAGUAAAUUUGCACCGAUUUAAGGAGUGGACUUUGCAACAUAUGCCUCAAGAUCAGUAUAGUGAGGUUGAUGCCCUCGCAAACUUAGGGUCAUUAAUUGAGAACAACGAGCUUGAUCGAGGGCCGUUGUGCAACUCAUGAGGUCAGUAGUCGAAGAAGGCCACGCCGAGAAAUAAAUACAUAGAGUAUUUGAAAACCGGAAAGCUUCCAUUAGAUCCGAAAGAAUCGAGGGCCCUGUGCAUAAAGGCGGCACGAUUCACCUUGUCCGAAGAUGGAACCUUGUUUAGAAGAAUGUCCGAUGGUUUAUUAGCAAUAUGUCUGGGACCAGGAAACACCGAGUAUGUUCUAAGGAAAGUUCACGAGGGCACUUGCAGGAAUCACUUAGGUGUCGAAUCAUUGGUUCAGAAGGUAAUCAGAGCUGGUUAUUACUGGAUCGACAUAGAAGAAGACGCAAAAGAAUUUGUUCGAAAAUGUGACAAAUGCCAAAGGCAUGCAGCAAUGAUUCACCAACUUGGGGAACUGCUCCAUUCGAUCUUGUCAACAUGGCCAUUGGAUGAAAGGCGCGAAACAACCCUCAUCCAACUAGCCUCCCAAAAGCAACGGAUCGAGAGAUACCACAAUCGAAGAUCCAACCUUUGAUAUUUUAAUGUCGGGGACUUAGUGCUGAGAAAUGUCACCCUCAACACCCGAAAUCCCAAUGAAGGGAAAUUGAGUCUGAAUUGGGAAGGACCAUACCAAAUUCUCGAGGUCACCGGAAAAGGGUCCUACAAGCUUGGAACGAUGAAUGGGAAACAACUACUUAUCAAUUGGAACAUAUCUCACUUGAAACGUCACUACUGCUGAGGUACGCCUUUUUUCUAUUCCUUUUCUUUUUUCAGAUUAAUGCUUGCAGGUGGUCGACAAGAAAAGACGAUGGAUUUUUUAGCAAACGACACAAAGUAUUUAGGUUUGAAAGCACGUGUUGCACUCUUUUUCCCUCAGACCGAUUGUGUCCCAAAUGGAUUUUUUCGACGAGGUUUUUAACGAGGCAAUGAUGAAUUGUGCUAACUUAGAAUUAAGCCCGAUUACAAAUCGGUAUCAGAGAUCCAUUCGACAUUAUCCGAGGUUUCUUUGCAAUCAACCUCGAAUACUGGUAAGGGCUACCUUCGGAUAUGCGUUAUCUUCGAAUCAACUCUAGAAAGGAAACUACUUCCUAAAGAGAGGAUCUCGAUAUAUAGGAUUUAUUCUAAGGGUCAAAUAGUCAAAUCGAACCGUGCCCAUAUAGAUUACUUGAACCCUGUUUCGAUCGAGAAUAAAGAGAAGCAUGUUCCUUACAAACAUCUUAUGCUGUAAAAAAAAAUUAUCUUCUCUCUUUACAAAGAGCUUCGUACUUCCGAAUAUAAACAAGCCCAAGGGCAAUACUUAACUGGAAAAUGAACGAUCUCUCCCUCACUCGAGGAAUGCCAUCCGACUCAAACAGCCCAAGUCAUCGGGCCUCAGGAGAAAAAGACCUAAUAUAAAACGCCCCGAUUUCUAAAAGUCACGGCCACCCCACUCGAGAACUAUUAUCUCGGGCAAGCCCAGAUAAAACGAGAAAACAAGCCCAAUGGAUAGAUCCCGAACUAAAAGGCUACAUCCAAUUUAACACGGCUCAGAGACGUCCGAAAUCCGUAACAAAAAUAGGCCUUAGAAAAAUAUAAAUUCUUUCACAACCGGUUCUAAAGGAUACCCUCGGCAGAAUCUCAAACUUAAGAUGUUUUUUCGGGAAAAACUUUGAUAACAUCAAACCCCAAUAAUGCCUUAACCCAGAAAGGAAAUAAAGGCAAGGUUUGUUCGAACCCUCGAACACAACCUUAUUGUUUCAUGCUAAGGCAUUUUCAACCUUUGUACAUAUAAAUAAAGCAAAGGAAAAAUACGAGUGCCGAAAGGGAAAGAAAAGCCUUAUAUUUAUAAACAAUAAUUUUUUACAAAGGCCAAAUCAGCCUAAAUUUACAACGGCCAAAAAACAGCCUCGGAAAAAAUGCAAAAGAAAAAAUAAAAAGUCCUAAGAGGCUUGGUCUUCAUCAGAGGUCGCAUCUCCAUCCUCGGGAUCUUCUCCGUCUUCGGAUUUGCUUGAACUCAUAGAGUCUUCCUCAGGGAAGUCCAUCUUUCGGGCCUUGGCUUCCUCUACUCUGGCCUUUUCUACCUCGACCAUGAUAUCGAAGCCCUGGGCUUGAACCCCUACAAGGGCUUCCUUUCGAGCCUACCAUUUUGCAUGUUCAACCAUGCCCUUGGACUUGGCCUGAUUGACUUCGACAUCAACUCUAAACUAGGCUACUUUAGCAUUAGCUCUUUUAUUACCCACGACCAUCUCAGCUCUGGCUAUGGCCACCUCGAAUCUGGCCACUUCGAGUUCAUCGGCCAAACUUGCCUUAUCAGAAACGACCAAAUCCUACUGACACUGAAGCUCUUUGAUCUUCUCGACGAACACCGAGGCCUUAUCUUUUGCAUCUUGGAGCUGGGCCACGGCCGACACCAAUUGAGCUUGGACGAUCUCCUUUUUUGAGGCUAGAAUGUCCAUGUACUUUUUGAAUUCUUCCGCCUCAUCCUGUAUCGCAUUCACCUACAUUUGGAGCCUUCCAAUUUGUUCGAGCCUCUGUCGAACCUGCAGAAUUAGAUCAUUAGUAGUUAUAUUCAAUUCAUCUUCACUAUCGUGAAGCACUCGAAAUACAUGUUUAGCCAUCUCGGCAUGCUCAUCCCGAGCAGUUACCAAAUCUGCCUGAAGCUUCUCACUAAGAAGUUUGUAGGUGUCACCUUUCUCAGUGAGGUCCCAAACUUCAGCCUCAUUCCUCCCGGAUUUGGAGGAAAGCCUCGUGAUGCAACACCGAAGCCUGUAAAUAAGGAAGAAGAUAUUAGAAUUAUCUACAACUCUAAGUAUAAAAGAAACAAUAGAGGUACCCUCGAAGUUACCCGAUUCAGAUCAUGUUGGGCCUCAUUGAAAAGGCAAUCGGCUCCUACCGCGUUCAUCACGGCUUGAUCCUCCUUCGUCGCCAAGGAUCUAAGGUAACUAGCAAUCCCCAUGGGGGGAGAGAAAACUCAGUCAUCCUACGGGAUGUAAAGCACUAUCUUCCGCCUACGAUCGGGGUUAACACUCGGGGCCGUGAAUCGGUCCACCAGUUUUGGGCUCGAUGAAGACCCGAUAGCACCCGACCAUGAUACUUUCUUCGGUACCGGUAAUCCACCAAACCCGAAAAUAUCCUCCGGGGCAGCGGACUCGAGCCCAUCCAAAAAUCCAUCGAUAUCAGUUGCCCCCUGAAUACCCUCGUAAGAUCGACUUUCCAACAUGUUGGCCUAACGGAUCAUAGCGUUCAAAAUCUGUGGGGAUCCAGAAAUAUCGACCAUCCUGAGCUCGUCCCUCGAGACAUCUUCUGCUACCCGAGAAGCCUUGCCUCCAGCCUCUCCUUCGACCAUCUCAGCUCGGGACGGAAUGGCCUCAACUUUUUCUGGUUCAGCAAUUAUGGCCAGAAUUCCCUCACCAACCUUCACCGAUUCGGAGGAUUUUUGUAUCAGAACAUUAGCCCGCACACAGGCUACUUCCUCUUCUCCUUCUUCGGGCUCAUCCCUUAAUCGACGGAUCAGGUCCGAAGGCAUAAUACCGGAGCCCCCCUUGGACUUGCGAGACUUCCUCGCUGGUUUUUUAUUUUUCGAGAUCGGGGAACUCGGAGCCCCUUUUCUCUUCUUCUCUUUGACCUGCUUCGGAGCAAGUACUUCUCGUCACCAGAUGGGGGCCUUAUGGCAACGUCCUUCCCGAGGCCUACAAAGGAAAAAAGGGGAAUAAGAAAGAGAAGAAGAUCAAACGAUAACUGUUCUAAGAAAGAAACUUACCAUGACUACGGGCCUCCCAUCGACCCUUUGAUAAUUCAAUCCAAGCACGCUCGGAGUAUGGUCUCUGCAACACCGACCUUCAACCCAUUGUUUAAGUUCAGGAAUCGAUUCCGGUAUCUGGGACACAACUGUAAUAACAUAGAAAAAGUAGAUAAAGAAAAUGAAAAUAAGAGCCACAAACUGGAACGUUCAAAGGGGAAUACUACUCACGAUUCAUAUUCCAUUUCUUAGGAAACGAGAUGUCUUCAGCAGGGAUCAGGUCCGAAGUCCUGAUUCAAACAAAUCGGCCCAUUCAACCUCGGUCAUGAGUCUCAUCUAUACUCGAGAACAGGGCUUUGGUUACUCGGCGAGCAAGCUUGAUUAGCCCUCAUCGAUAGAGUCGGAGACUGUAAAGGCGCAUAAAGUGAUCGAGGGUGAAAAGACACCCCUCAAUUUUGCUCGAGAAGAAUCGGAGGAGAAUUACUAUUCUCCAAAAAGAAGGAUGGAUCUGGCCAAGGGUCACGUUGUAUCUCUUGCAGAAGGCGACGAUGACAGGGUCUAAGGGACCCAACGUGAAGGGGUAAGGCCCCUCCACAUGGGUAGUAAUCGAUUGUUCAGGCGAUGGGACUGCCACAUGCUUUCCGCCCCAGUUGCAUUCCUUUUUCACUUUGUUGAGGAUUUCGUUAGUGAUUGAACACAUGUACCUCGAGAUCGGCUUACAUCGGCCCGGUACCGAGGAGGCUUUUUCGACCUUAAAGUUGAUGACGGUUGAGCACCAUACCAGAAUGAAUUCCUCAGGGUGGGGCUCCGCCGUAUCCUUACCUCCGGCGGGUCGUGAUGAAGAAAGGGCCUCUUUUUGCGGCACUAUUUUGGAGGUUUUCGCCAUUGAUGAACAAGGGAAAAUAAAAUUAGGAUGGUAUGCGGUUUAAUUGGAGUUCAAGAACUUUGGGUGUGAAAAUUAUAAAGCAAAGAGAUUUUCAGAAGAAGAUUCAAGAUCAGAGAAGAAGCCUUGAGUGAAAAGUUUGAAUAAGAAAAGAUUGGGUUCUUAUAGGUUAUUGGAGACGGUACAGAACCGGUAAUGGCCGACCAACAACUGACAGGUAUUUAAUGCCUUGAUAACUGGACCAACAAAAUAUUUUGUCGCAUACGUCAUAAUCGGGCUCGUCGCUGACAUCAUUAUUCAUCAAGUCGGAGUUUGGAAAUUCAUAUCGUUUCUCACCAUCUUCUUUCCGAGAAACGAGGGGACUAUCUAUAUACGGUCAAAAUCGAGCUUGCCCUUCAUAUGACUAAUCGAGACUGAAACAUGAUAGAUCAAGGUUCAACCUCGUAUAAUAUCAAGAUAUAUAUGAUGUGAAGUAAGGUUGCCGAGCUCGUGACCUAGAGACCGACCAAGAUCAAUAUCAAGAUCGAGCAAAAUAGAGAUUAGCCGAGACCGAGCAAAAUACAGACUGAUCGAGAUCGGUCAAGAUUGAGACCGAGCAGAAUGGAGACCGGUCGAGAUCGGCCAAGAUCGAGAUCGAGCCAAAAAAUAAAAAAGCUGGUAUAUCCGCAAUCAGGGGGAGAAUCUCGGCGAAAAUCCCGGCGCAUAUCAAGGAGAUGCCAAUUAAUUAAUCUAUCAUGGGAUUCCUUCUGUAUUGAGAAUUAUAUUCAAAGUAAGACUUCCCCACUAUAUAAAGGAGGUUAGAUCAUUUGUAAUUNNNNNNNNNNNNNNNNNNNNNNNNNNNNNNNNNNNNNNNNNNNNNNNNNNNNNNNNNNNNNNNNNNNNNNNNNNNNNNNNNNNNNNNNNNNNNNNNNNNNNNNNNNNNNNNNNNNNNNNNNNNNNNNNNNNNNNNNNNNNNNNNNNNNNNNNNNNNNNNNNNNNNNNNNNNNNNNNNNNNNNNNNNNNNNNNNNNNNNNNNNNNNNNNNNNNNNNNNNNNNNNNNNNNNNNNNNNNNNNNNNNNNNNNNNNNNNNNNNNNNNNNNNNNNNNNNNNNNNNNNNNNNNNNNNNNNNNNNNNNNNNNNNNNNNNNNNNNNNNNNNNNNNNNNNNNNNNNNNNNNNNNNNNNNNNNNNNNNNNNNNNNNNNNNNNNNNNNNNNNNNNNNNNNNNNNNNNNNNNNNNNNNNNNNNNNNNNNNNNNNNNNNNNNNNNNNNNNNNNNNNNNNNNNNNNNNNNNNNNNNNNNNNNNNNNNNNNNNNNNNNNNNNNNNNNNNNNNNNNNNNNNNNNNNNNNNNNNNNNNNNNNNNNNNNNNNNNNNNNNNNNNNNNNNNNNNNNNNNNNNNNNNNNNNNNNNNNNNNNNNNNNNNNNNNNNNNNNNNNNNNNNNNNNNNNNNNNNNNNNNNNNNNNNNNNNNNNNNNNNNNNNNNNNNNNNNNNNNNNNNNNNNNNNNNNNNNNNNNNNNNNNNNNNNNNNNNNNNNNNNNNNNNNNNNNNNNNNNNNNNNNNNNNNNNNNNNNNNNNNNNNNNNNNNNNNNNNNNNNNNNNNNNNNNNNNNNNNNNNNNNNNNNNNNNNNNNNNNNNNNNNNNNNNNNNNNNNNNNNNNNNNNNNNNNNNNNNNNNNNNNNNNNNNNNNNNNNNNNNNNNNNNNNNNNNNNNNNNNNNNNNNNNNNNNNNNNNNNNNNNNNNNNNNNNNNNNNNNNNNNNNNNNNNNNNNNNNNNNNNNNNNNNNNNNNNNNNNNNNNNNNNNNNNNNNNNNNNNNNNNNNNNNNNNNNNNNNNNNNNNNNNNNNNNNNNNNNNNNNNNNNNNNNNNNNNNNNNNNNNNNNNNNNNNNNNNNNNNNNNNNNNNNNNNNNNNNNNNNNNNNNNNNNNNNNNNNNNNNNNNNNNNNNNNNNNNNNNNNNNNNNNNNNNNNNNNNNNNNNNNNNNNNNNNNNNNNNNNNNNNNNNNNNNNNNNNNNNNNNNNNNNNNNNNNNNNNNNNNNNNNNNNNNNNNNNNNNNNNNNNNNNNNNNNNNNNNNNNNNNNNNNNNNNNNNNNNNNNNNNNNNNNNNNNNNNNNNNNNNNNNNNNNNNNNNNNNNNNNNNNNNNNNNNNNNNNNNNNNNNNNNNNNNNNNNNNNNNNNNNNNNNNNNNNNNNNNNNNNNNNNNNNNNNNNNNNNNNNNNNNNNNNNNNNNNNNNNNNNNNNNNNNNNNNNNNNNNNNNNNNNNNNNNNNNNNNNNNNNNNNNNNNNNNNNNNNNNNNNNNNNNNNNNNNNNNNNNNNNNNNNNNNNNNNNNNNNNNNNNNNNNNNNNNNNNNNNNNNNNNNNNNNNNNNNNNNNNNNNNNNNNNNNNNNNNNNNNNNNNNNNNNNNNNNNNNNNNNNNNNNNNNNNNNNNNNNNNNNNNNNNNNNNNNNNNNNNNNNNNNNNNNNNNNNNNNNNNNNNNNNNNNNNNNNNNNNNNNNNNNNNNNNNNNNNNNNNNNNNNNNNNNNNNNNNNNNNNNNNNNNNNNNNNNNNNNNNNNNNNNNNNNNNNNNNNNNNNNNNNNNNNNNNNNNNNNNNNNNNNNNNNNNNNNNNNNNNNNNNNNNNNNNNNNNNNNNNNNNNNNNNNNNNNNNNNNNNNNNNNNNNNNNNNNNNNNNNNNNNNNNNNNNNNNNAAAAUGGGUAGAUGAAUAGUUUUUCAACGCUCUAAUUUUUUACUUUUUACUCCUUCAUUAGAGAACGUGUAAGAAUUUUACUCUCUUUUUUUAAUUAGUUCAAGUCAAUCUUUCUUUUUUCCAAUCUCUUCAUAUUUCAAAAACCCUACAUAUUUUUUGUCUUUCUCUUUAUUAUUCUUACUCACAUUCUUUCUCCAAGAGUUUAUUAGGUUUAAGUGUUCAACAAUACUUUUAAGCUUGCAAUAGUUUUAUACUUCUAUUGCUCUACAAUAUCUUAUCUAAAAUCAACAAUAUCUCAAGAAAGACUAAAUGAGUUGUCUGUAAUAUCGAUUGAAAAAGAAUUAUUAGAAAAAACUGAUUAUAAAAAAUAUCAUUAACAACUUUAUAUCUCAAAAAGCUAGAAAAUUAGAUUUUAAAUAAUAAUAUAUCUUAUAACUUCCAUUUAAAAAUUUAGGUCUCGUAUUAAAUUUUGGUUUUAGGCCCUGCAUGUGCUUGUGAUGCACCAGCCAAGUUGUCAUACACAUGUAACAAACCAAAGACGUGCUUAUUUUUUACUUUAAUUUUUAAAGUAAGAAGAUACCCUUCAAUAAUUGAAUUCUAGUACCACUAGGUGGAUUACUCUAUUCGGUUCGUCCAACGACUUUGACAUUUUAUUUAAGUUAUAACAAUUAAUUAAUAGCAUAACUUAAUCACCGACAGAGGUAAAAUUGCAAAUCUCCUCAUAGAAUUCCAUUAGUUAAGCUAAAUUAUUAUAUAUAUUUAAUAAUACAUAGUUCUAACUUCUAAGAGAGAUAUGGAUUUAUUAACAAGCACAGAUCAAAGCUUCAUUGACCUAGUCAAGAAUUAUUGCCGACAAAUAUUUUAGACAAAACAUAUGCCUAGACGAGUCAGAGAUCUUCUAUUCUCUUUUGGUUACUCUUUUAUUUUAAUUAACAGUAUAUAAUUAAUUUUUAGUUUGUUUCUAAUUUUUCAUUACUGCACGAGUAACAAACUUUCUUUCUCUACAUAGUAAACAGUGGAAGAGAUGAACUCAAAUUGGACAAAAAUGAUCGAGGGAUAAACUCCCUAAUCUUGUUCUUAGCAUUCCUUAAAAUAGUCUGAAAUAAUGAUCAAAUCAAAGAAUUAUAAAUUUCCGAAGAACACGGAAUUAAUACUAUCUGUAGGCUUAUAAGAAUAGGCUAAUAGCUUACUCAACCAUUUAAGUAAGUAAAAUUAUUUUUUAAUCUAAUUGAGCAAAGACUUCAACACAUUUAUGAAGUAUUCCGGAUUGUAAUCAAACUUUACAUACAAGUUUCAAUCAACUAAAUGGACCUAUGCGAGGUCCUAGAACACCACCCUGUCGAUAAUACCAAAGUCCACUCAAGUUAAACUUAGCAAAUUUAAAAACUUUCAAAUGAAAACUUCCGACAAUAAGCCCUGAAACGCUCCUGGACCACCUGAUACUCAAUCCGAACAUAUACCCAAGUCUGAAUUCACCUUACAAACUUAUAGAAACCUUCAAAUUCCGAUUAUGAGGUCAUUUACUCAAAACUCAAACCUUGGUCGACUCUUCAACUUAGAGCUUCCGAAUUGAGAAUUAUUCUCCCAAAUCAACUCUGAACCUCUCGAAAGUCAAAAAUAACUAUACACGCAAGUCAUAAUACAUAAUAUGAAGCUACUCAAGGCCUCAAACCGUCAAACGACAAGCUAAAAUUCAAAACGGCUGGUCGGGCUGUUACAUUAUUGUUCUUUGUUUAUACAGGUAACUUGGUCGGUUUUAUUUUCAAAAGUGUAAUUUAAAUUUAAAUUUUGAAUUUCAUGAAUCAAAAGUCUCGGUAUUCGUGAUUCUACAAUUGAUAACUCAAGGAUGGUGUCAUCAAGUUUGUGGGUCUACAAUUGAGAACUUAAGGAUGGCAUCAUGGAGUUUAGUUCUCACUAGAACUACAACUCUAUAUAGAACCACAAACUCUAUGACUCCAUCCUUGAGUUCUCAAUUGUAGAACUAUAAAAUCCAAGACACCAUCCUUGAGUUCUCAAUUGUAGAACUACAAACUCUAUGAUGCGAUACUUUAGUUCUUAAUUGUAGAACCACAAAUGCUAUGAUAUCGUCAUUGAGUUCUCAAUUGUAAAAAUACAAACUCCUUAACUCUAUCCUUGAGUUCUCAAUUGCCGAACCAUAGAUUCUAUGAUGCUAUUCUUGAGUUCUAAAUUGUAAAAUCGUGAACUUCAUGAUGCCUUUUUUGAGUUCUCAAUUGUAGAACCAAACACACCAUGACUCCAUCCUUGAGUUUUAAAUUGUCAAACAACAAAAUCCUUGACUCUAUCUUUGAGUGUUUGAUUUUCGAACCAUAAACUUCAUGAUACCAUCCUUGAGUUCUCAAUUUUAGAAUCACAAAUUUUAUUACGGCAAUCCGAUAGAUAGAUUAUGGCUUCUUCACUAUCAACAAGCUCUCACAGGCAAUGAACUGCUUCCGACUUCUUCAUUGGGUUUGUAGCUAUACCGUAUAGAGAGAAAAGUUCCUUUUAAUAAGAGUAGAUAUAUUCAAGCAAACAUUUCAAUGAAAUGAUCCUUUGACAAUGAGGAACCAUGAAUUCCAUGACACCAUUCUUGAGUUCUCAAUUGUAGAACCAGAAACUCCAUGACUCCAUCUUGAGUUCUCAAUUGUAGAACCAGAAACUCCAUAACUCCAUCUUGAGUUCUCAAUUGUAGAACUAGAAACUCCAUGACUCCAUCUUGAGUUCUCAAUUGUGGAUCGACAAACUCCAUUACUAUCCUUGAGUUCUCAAUUAUAGAACUAUGAAGUCUAUUAUUCUAUCCUUGAGUUCCUAAUUUUAAAACCACGAACUUAAUGAUCUUAUCCUUGAGUUCUCAAUUGUAGAAUCACGAACUUUAUGACUUCAUCCUUGAGUUCUCAAUUAUAGAACCACAAAAGCAAUGAUGCUAUCCUUGAGUUAUCAAUUGUAUAAUUACAAACUCUAUAACGUCAUCCUUGAGUUCUCAAUUGUAGAAUCACGUACUCCAUAAAUCCAUCUUUAAGUUCUCAAUUGUUGAAUCAUACAAUCUAUGACUCAAUCCUUGAGUUCUCAAUUGUCGAACUACGAAUUUCAUGACACCAUGCUUGAGUUCUCAAUUGUAGAACCAUGAACUCCAUUAUCUAUCUUGAGUUAUUAAUUGUAGAAUCAGAAACUUCAUGGCUCUAUCCAUGAGUUCUUAAUUGUAGAACCAUGAACUACAUGAUUUCAUCCUUGAAUUUUUAAUUAUAGUACCACAAACUCCAUGACGUCAUCCUUGAGUUCUCAAUUGUAGAACCACAAAAUUCAUGACGCCAUCCUUGAGUUCUCAAUUAUAGAUUCACGAACUCAAUAACGCCAUCUUUGAGUUAUUAAUUGUCGAACCACGGACUCCAUGCCUCCAUCUUUGAGUUCUCAGUUGUCAAACUGCGAACUCUGUGAUACCAUCCUUGAGUUCCUAAUUAUAGAACCAUGAAUUCUAUAAUGCCAUCCUUGAGGUCUCGAUUGUAGAACCACAAACUCCAUGAUGCCAUCUUUGAGUUAUUAAUUGUAGAACCACGAGCUCAAUGACGCCACCCUUGAGUUCUCAAUUGUAGAACCACAAACUCAAUAAUUCCAUUCUUGAGUUCUCAAUUGUCGAACCACGAACUCCGUGAAUCUAUCCUUAAGUUCUCAACUGUCAAAUCACGAACUCCAUGACUCCAUCAUUGAGUUCUUAAGUGUCAAACCACGAAUUCCAUGAUGCCAUCCUUGAGUUCUCAAUUAUAGGACUACAAACUCCAUGACUCCAUUCUUGAGUUCUCAAUCAUAGAACCACAAAAAUGACUUCAUCCUUAAGUUCUCAAUUGUCAAUUCACGAACUCCAUGAUGCUAUCCUUGAGUUUUCAAUUGUAGAACCAGAAACUCUAUGACUCUAUUCGUAAGUUCUCAAUCUUAGAAUCAUGAACUCCAUGACUCCAUCCUUUAGUUUUCAAUUGUAGAACCACAAACUCCAUGACGUCAUCUUUGAGUUCUCAAUUGUAAAACCACAAACUCUAUGACAUCAUCAUUGACUUAUCAAUUGUAGAUCCACGAACUCAAUGAUGCCAUUUUGGAUUUUUAAUUGUCGAAUCACAAACUCCAUGACUUAUUGGAUUGGAUGAAAUACAUGUAUCUAAACUAAAAAGUAGUUCUUUACGGGAGGAAAUGCCAGACAGACUGACCUCUGCUAACUAUGUUUUAUAUAGAUUGUAUUUUGAAAGCUCUAUAAGCAGACAACUUAAUUAAUCAUAACCAGUAUUUUAAAAAGUGCACGUGCGAGGCGAGGCAUUUUACCUGAUAAGGGACGAGACGUAAACCUCGAGAAAUCGAGCAUAAACCCCGUGGAUCUUUAAUUAUAAAUAUUUUAUAAACUAAUAGAAUAAAAAUAAAUAUUAAAAGAAGUUAAAACUAUAUAAAAAUUAUAGAAAUUCUUAAAAAAUAUAAAAUAAAUAAAAAUAUACAUACAAUUGCUUCUUCUUAAAACGCUCUAAUUGACUAAAGAUCACAACUUCUUCGUCUAAAAAACUAAUUAGAUUUUUUUGUUGUUGACAUGAUUAGAAUUUAUAAACUAACUUGAAAGAUCAAGGAUUUUUAAAAGAAAGAAAAGCGAAGAAUAAAUUUACAAUCAAAAGCCAAAUCACAGCAAGUGAUGAAGGAUGAUGCGUUUUGGCGUAGUAGUUUGUGAAUUGAUUAUUUUUCCUUUGCCUAGUAUAAGACGAAGAAACAAUUAUGGCUAAGAACAUAAAAAUAUUUUGACUUUUAAGUUUUUUAACUUUUAAAAAUUUAAUAACAAGCUAAUUUUUGUGAUUUUUAUAUUAAAUUAAGAAUUUACAAUUGAAUAGUAAUUUUAAUUCUAAUUUGGAGAGAUUAUCUUGGUUUACGCCUUGCAAUACUUUCAUCUCCCUCAUCCCGAGGAGCGUUCUUACUACGCCCAACAUCAUAACUCAUGCAUGUUUGGGCAAUCUUAAUUAAGCAACACUUACCCAUUUUGCUUUGUAUUUAUUAUAGUAGGAACACUUUAAUCCUCUUAUCUUUUCAGUAAUUAGGUUCUCUUGACACUAUUACUGUCUCUCAAAGAAUGCCACUAUUACCGUGGGUAGUCAAACAUCCUUUUCUUCAGAGGCGGAUCCGAGAUUUAAAUUCUAUGAGUUCAACCAUUAAGGUUUUUAGCAUUACAUUAUUAUAUUUUUAAAGUUAUGAGUUCAUAUUUACUAUUUAUUGUAAUUUUAAUAAAUUUUUACAUAUAAAUUUAUACUCCGCAAUAAAAGCACUGGGUUCAGUUGAACCCGGUGCUAGAGGGCUGGAUCCGCCCCUGCUUUUCUUUACUGAGAUAUAAAUGGUGAUUUACAGUAUCUUUGAUAAUUUUUAAAUAUAUAAAAUUUAUCUUAAAAAUAUUAAAAUUAAUAUUCGGUUUGACAUGGUAUUCCGAAUACCGCAAUUAUUUUUCUUUUGGGAGAGGGGGAGGGGGCAAAUGAAGCACCAAGUUUAUUACUAAUAUUGUGGCGUAUUGGUCAAUUACCGUUUCACUAAAAAAACUUUUGACUUGAUUAAAAAACUACUUUUUAGCUUUGUCACGCAUUAAUCAAAUAGAGUAUGAAUUACAGUAUAUGAAUUGAAAAUGGCUACUUCAGGAAUGAUUUAUUUAUUUGACUUCAUCUUAUGAUCUGGAUGAUUGCUAGUCACCAACUUUAGUUCAUAUAUGCGUAAGUGUGAAUUUCAGAAAAUUCUCUUCAAAGAAAAACUUGUGUUAGCUAGGUGUGAAAAUUACCUCAGCAAAAAGUGCAUCAGGAGUGAAGUAAAUUAACAAUAUUUCAAAGAAUUAUUGCAUUUCUUUUUCUCUUGAUUUUAAAAAUUACAUAAGAAAAGAAAGAAUAUCAUUCUGAACGAAAGAAAUUUUUUAAGUGAUAUGCUUGCUAAAGACAUAUAUAAAGUCCUUCAAGCUUGGAGUAGCUGUGAUAACUUUUUGUAGGAUGGAAUAUAUGUAGUCAUUUCACUAAUAAUUGAUAUUUCCUAAGUUUUUUUUCCCAUUAUCUGGGAGUGUUGUAUUAAUCAAAAUUUGUUCCCAUUAGUACAACACAAGGGUAUAGGUUACCCUUCAAAAGAUAUGGCGAGGUGAUAAUAAAGUUCACCUGCCACCGCCAACAAAAAUCCUAGCUUACAAAAAAAAUUAGCCUUGUCAAACUUGAUUCUAAUACUCGGUAAUUGGCUUUUGUCCAGGUGAAAGGGGCCCUUAGCACCUUUAGGAAGUUGCUGACCGGAGAAGUAGUAAAAUUCGGUCUGAGUUUUGGCCGCCAAUUUUGCUAAACAGUCAGCUAGUUGGUUGAGAGUUCCUCUUUCUGGUUUUUGCCAUUGCACUGUCAUGGAAUUCUAUUUGGGAUGAAUCCUUACUAGAGUGUCGUAAAAAUUGUCCCAAGACAACUUGAGAUUACAAUUUGGAUAGGCCUUGUUGAUUGCACUUUUCACAUUCCAACUGAUUUGUUGCUUCAACUUAUAGAAGUUGAAUUUCUUUUGAUUUCCAUACCUGCAAGCACAAGUUUUUUUUCACAGUACCCAACAUAUGAUAAUAGGAGUAAUACUUAACACUAAUUUAUGUACAUCAUUAACAGACUUAGUUUGCCAUCAGGUAUUUAACAUAUAUCUACUAGGGUGGGGGUGAUAGUUAAUUCCAAGUUGAGAGCCAAAAUGUUUCCACACAUAAGUGGCUGCCUGUCCUUCUACAAAAAUAUGGUGCAUAUUUUCAUAGGCAGGAUUCUCACAGCAGUUACACCUAAAAACAAUAUGUCUCCCAAACCUAGAAAUAGGGGAGUUUCCCUUUCCAAAGUCUCCAAACCAGGAAUGACAUAUUAAAAGGAAUAUAAGAGUUCCAAAUCUUACCAAUAUGUUGUUGCUUAGAUCUAGAAUUUCUUUCCAGAUGCCAAGUUAUCCUGUUGGAGUAUUUACCAUUCUCCAUAAGGUCCCAAUAAACCUUAUCCUCUUUUUCUUGAUUUUCAAUGUCAAUUUUUAGGAUAUGAUCUAUCAGAUGUUCUGGAAGGACAUUCUUCAGCUUUCUAACAUCCCACCUGCCCUCAGUGAUGAAUUCACGCACCAAAGUUUUAUGGCUCCUCCUAGUGGUAGUAACUAAACCUGCAAGAUGACUUUUUAAGGUCCAAUUAUCCCACCAAAAACUGCUAGAGCCUGAAUUGAUUUGCCAGACCAUGUGCUUAUCUGCAAUGUUUCUUAUAAUAAGAACAUGUUUCCAGGCAUGUGCAUUCCCAGGAGCCCAUUAUUUCGAAACCAAAUGAGAUCUAAUGCAAUAUUUAUGUUUCACAUAUGUUGCCCAUAGAGAUGAUGUGGACCUGAUCCUCCACCACCUUUUCAUAGCCAACACAUUACUGAUUUCUUCCAUCUUUCUAAUACCAAUACCACCCUCAUCUGUAGGCACAGUGAGGUAAUUCCAGGAACUCUAAUGGUACCUUUUAUGUUCCAUAGAAUUAUCCCAGAAAAAAUUAGCAAAAUAUUUUUCAAUUAGUUUAAAAGUAGUUUUAGGGAGGGAUAUAACAGAUAAUGUAUAAACGAGCAAAGAUUGAAUGACACUUUUGAUCAACACAACUUUACCUCUAUAUGAUAAAAGCUUGCCUUACCAACCAUUGAGCCUUUUCACUAUCUUACUAAUCAGGAUGUCAAAAUAUUCAGUCCUUUUUCUGCCCACAUAUAGAGGACAACAAAGGUAAUUAAAAGGAAAAUUCUUAUCCAUAAAACCAGAGCACUUCCUAAUUCUAUUAAUCCUGUCAGCUGCAAUCUUAGGAGCAGUGAGGAAAAAGCUCUUGUCUCUGUUAACCAAUUGACCAUAGCUUUUCUCAUAGUUACCAAUUUGCUUCAUAACAAGAUUAAUAGUUGCAGAAUUACCACUACGAAAAAUAACAAUAUCAUCUGCAUAGGUUAAAUGGUUAAUUUUUGGGACCUUAUCAUGCAUAGAAAAAGGGGUGAAAUCAAGAUGAUUAUACAAAUUAUUAAGAGUCUUGGAGAGAACCUCGGCAGCUAUAAUGAACGAAGAAGGGGAAAGGGGAUCACCUUGUUUAAGACCUUGAGAGGAAAAGAAAUUUUUUUGUCUAGAUCCAUUAAUAAUGAUCGAAUACCACACAUUCGAAAUCAAAUUAUGAACCAUGUCUAUCCAGUAUUUAGAGAAACCAAAUUUACUUAACACAGAAUAAACAAAAGGCCAUGCCAUUCUAUCAUAGGCCUUAGCCAUAUCAAGCUUAAUAAUAAUAUUACCUCCCAUGUUUUUAUCAGUAAUCUUGUAAAUAAUUUCUUGAGCCAGUAAAAUAUUCUCGGAGAUUAGUCUAUCCUUCACAAAACUACUUUGAUUAGGAGAAACUAAUUUGUGCAAGAGGGGGUUUAGCCUUAAAGAAAAAAUUUUAGAGAUGAUUUUGUUAGAGAAAUUAGAUAAACUAACUGGUCUAAAAUCUAAAAAAUAAUAAGGAGUAUCAAUUUUGGGAAUCAAAACUAAGCAAGUAUGAGAGAAGAAUUUAGUCAAACCUUUCCCUUUGAAGAACUCCAGAACAACUGCAAUGACAUCCUCUUUGAUAAUAUCCCAGCAAUUAUGGAAGAAUGCUCCAUUAUAUCCAUCCGGUCCAGCUGUGCUAAAAGCACUUAGACUCAACACAACAUUUUUUAUUUCAGCUUCAUCGAGCAUCUUACUGAGAAUUAGGUUAUCCUCCUCAGUAAUGCUAUUAGGAAUACACUCUAAAAUAGUGGGGUUGAGGUUAGGAGUUGGUAAGUUGAAAUGGGAAUUGAAGUGCCUGACUGCAACUUUGGAGAUCUUCUCAUCACCCAUAAUCCACUUGCCCUUAUGAUUCUUAAUUCCAUUUACCUGUUGUUUCCUCCUUUUUUUCCUGAGAAUGCAGUGAAAGUAUCUGGUAUUACUAUUACCAUCUUCAAACCAUUUUAUCCUAGAUUUCUGUUUGAGAAGGGAGUCUUGGAUACUCAACCAUCUAAUAUAUUCAGCAUGGGCUUUGUUCAUUUUUUCUCUACUUUGCUCGGUGUUGUCUUCAAUGUCUUUAUCUUCCAAAUAUUGAAGCUUCUCCUCCCAGUUGAUAACAGCCUCAUUAAUGUCACCGAUGUCUUUCCUAGACCAUUGACUUAAUCUCUUACUGAGAGCCUUCAGCUUGGAUUGCAAGAUCCAUAUAUGAUUACCCAUAACCUUUUUCUUCCAAAUUUCCUUAACAAUAUUAUAGAAAUCAGACUGAUUAACCCAACAGUUAAGAAAUCUGAAAUACUUAAUAUAAUUAUUGUUGGCGUAAAGAUCCUUUAUGAGCAGAGGUCUAUGAUCCGAUCUCGUCCUUGCCAAAAGCCUAAUUGAACAUCUUUGAAACAAAAUUGUCCCAUAGAUCAUUAACAAAGACUCUAUCCAAUCUUUUCCAAAUUUUCUUCCUGGGUCUCCUGUUAUUGCACCAAGUAAAAUUUGGGCUUGAGUAACCAAUAUCAGUAACUCUACAAAUAUCCAUACAGUUUUGAAAUUUAAUGCUUUUGUACAUUCUAUGAGGUUUACCCCCUAAUUGUUCACUUGGUUAAAGGAUCACAUUAAAAUCUCUCCCGAUACACCAAGGUGCAUCCACCAGAUGACUAUCAUGUUCCAAAGAUGACCAAAGGACUCUUCUAUCUUCUGAAUUACAUUUAGCGUAUACUGUCGUAACAAAGAUAUCUUGAGUACCUAUAGCUUUCUCCAAUUUGAUGGUAAUGUGUUGUUCACUUUCUGUGAAAAUCAUUUUAUUGCUGUAAGAAUUCCAGAAGCACCAAAUUUGACCAUUACCAUUAGAAUGGCAAUGUUAAUACCCUAAGAAUCUCAUGUAUCCAUCUACCUUUUCUUUAGUAUUAAAAGGUUCAAAGACAGCUACAAAAUGUGUGUUGUUGAUGCCAAUCAACCUUUUAAGCCCGUGAAUGGCUUUUUUGGAUAUCACCCCCCUUAUGUUCUAGAAGAUUGCACUAAUCAUAAAAAUAAUUUGGGGUGUUUUUCUCUCUUUGUUUCCUUCUUUGAGAAGGAUGUGUUCUGUUUCUUUGACCUUUGCCACUUUUUCGAGUUUCACUUCGGCCUCUUUUAGCAAUGUAUUGAUUAUCCAUUUUUUGACUUUAUGAAACUUCCUCAAUGUCUUCAUUCUCCGUGUCGCUAUCUCUUUUGGAGCUCAUAUUGAGUUUGUUAGUAUUUCCCUCAUUCAUAUCCUGAUCCCACUCUUUUCCAUCCAUAUCAACAACUAAUUUUAUUCCAGGUUGAUUUCUAACCUCUGUUGGAAAGUAGAUGAGCUUGAGGCACAGGUUGUAUGCUUGUGCAUUUCCUCUUCCUUGCUUUCUUCUUCCCUGCUAGUAUCUUUAUUAUCAGACAUUUGAUUGACAUUUUUCAUUUCUAUAUUAGGAGCUUCCUCUUUCUCUAGCCUUUCAUUCUUGCCAGUAUCAUUAACAUUGAUUUGUCUCUCAUGUUCUUGUGUAUCAAAUGUUUCUUGAUUCUGAAUACUAUCUCUAAUAGCAGCUAUAGACUGAUCAUUUUGUUUGCUCGUCGAUGUAGAAAUAAAAUUAUUUUUGCUACUGUUCUGCGUAAGUUUGAAUCUUACUUUGCUUUUCUUCUUCGGCAUCUUUUUGGUUUUCUUCUUCUUAUUUCUUUUCUUCAUGUUUUUCCCUUCUUUAUUGCUAUUAGUCUUUGUAUUUUCAUUCCCCUAUUCCUGUUUCUUUUUACCGUUAUCAACACUGUGAGAAUCUACUUGAAUUGUGUCCUCCUUGCCGUUAUUGUUUUCUUUCAUCAUCUUGUUCAUAGAAUGUGCUUCAUCCUCAUUUUUGAUAAUCUCAUCUCUAUCUCCCUCUUCCUUAGCUUGAACCGCCUUUUUCUUUUCAAGAGCCCUACAAUUGACUAUGUAGUGGCCCAAUUUCCGACAAUGUUUACAAUAUUUUGGGACGCCUUCAUACUCUAAUUUUUAGGUAUAUCCUUUUAACGGCGAUUUAUCAUAUUCUUGACCCACAAAAAUACUUUGAGGCACAGGUUUUAAUAGGUCCACUUCCACUCUAAUUUUGGCCAUACUAGGCCUUGUUCUACCAAUUGUAGCAGCAUCUAGAGCAAGAGGCGUACCUACAGAGCUCAACAGUUGUUUGAUGUAGUGCCAAUCAUGCAUAUGAAAUGGUAAAGCUGGCAGAAGAACCCAGGCCGGAGUGACUAGCAGAUCCUCUUCUGGCUUGAAGUCCGGUGACCACUUUUGUAACCAUAUUUGCAUCCCGUCGAUUUCGAUAACUCUUCUGAACCAUACUGUUUUCCAGUCCUCCUUAUUGAAGAGAUCAAUGAAGACAUUUUGAUUGUAAUAGACCCCUAUUCUGACCGACCCUUUCAAUGGAAUAAUUUCCUUAAAUCUUGACAUAAUCCGGUCAAUUUGGGGGCAUGGUCGAAGAAAUUUUCCCACAAUUGUGUACUUACAUGAAUCCGUCAUUAUGCCAUAGUAGUCUUUAGCCUCGAAAAUCAGAGCUGGCAUGCCAUUGUGAGUCGUAUGUCUUGCUAUCACUUUCUCCUUUUCAUGGCGAUUGGAGUUUGGAUUGGGGAUUUGAGAAGAUGAUGAAGAAGCUGAGAUGGUAUUAGCAUAGGUUAGUUUUCCUAGCUUAGAAUCAACAUUGUGAGAUGUUUCACCUAUGGGUGAACCUGAUCUGCCGUACGCACCGGUGGGAUGCCUCCUGGCGGCUCCAUCUAGUGGAGCGUGUGCAGGAUGCGUUAAGACAAGGGAUUUUAUGUAGCCGUUGUAGAAAGGAAAAGUUUUUCUUGUCAAUUUUUAAUGAUAUUUCAUAAGUUAGUAUCUCUAGUAUUACAUAAUUAUUAAAUUUUAAAGAGUUAAAUUCAGGGGAGGAUCCAUCCUUUAGGGUUGGCGUUGUACGUCACCCGCUAGAUUGGUAAAAUUAUCAAAUAUUUAUGUAGCAAUUUUCUUAAACUAGAUUAAUGUUACGACCCAAAAACCUAACCCGUCGUGAUGGCGCCUAUCAUGGUACUAGGCAAGCCGACCUUUCCAAAACACUUUCAAAAUUUAACAGAAGUGAAUUAAGAUAUUUAAAAUAACUGGAGUUUCUCAUAAAUACGGGGUAAAACCCAAAUAAAAUAUAAGUGCGGAAAAAUAGCCCGAUAUCGGGGUGUCACUAAGUCAUGAGCCACUAGACUCUCAAUCUAAAAGACAAUGUCUACAAUAGUCUACGUCUAGAUAUCAAUACAGAGAAAGAAAGAUAAUAAGGAAGGAGCACAAGGUCUGCGAACGCCGGCAGCUACCUCGUAAAUCUCUGGAAGAUCAACUACGCACGAACUCAAUGACCUCCAUGUCCAGUCACACCUGAAUCUGCACACAAGGUGCAUGGAAUAACGUGAGUACUUCCAACUCAGUAAGUAACAAAAUUAAAUAAGGAAAUGAGAAGCAGUGACGAACUACACAAUGCAGUUCAUUUCAGUAAUUUCAGCAAGAAAAUAGACAUGCUUUCAAUUUAGUGUUUUAAAUCAAAACAUUUCGAGUUCAGGUACAACAAUAUAUGCCCUCCAGAAAGUUUCACAACAACAACAAUUAGCAACGAAGUGCAACAACAAAAUAAGAGCAAGUACAGCCUUACAGGGCUACUGUCACUCAUCUAUCUCAACAGCUCAAUCACUCGGCUCUCAGCCUCAAUACUCACAAUUAAAGGUACCUGCACUCACUUGGGGUGUACAGACUCCGGAUGGGCUCCUACAGCCCAAGCGCUAUAUAUUGUUGCGGCGUGCAGUCCGAUCCAUAUAUUAUUGCGACGUGCAGCCCGAUCCGAUAUAUUGCUACGGCAUGCAACCCGAUCUGAUAUAUGGCUCGAAGGCUUGUUUCGGCGUGUAACCCGAUCCAAUAUAUGGCCCGAAGACUUGUUGCGGCGUGCAAUCCGAUCCAAUAUUGCUCACAUAGCUUCCAACUCGGCACUCAGGCCCUAUCUCAAUCUAUAACCUCUCCAACCCCUCGGGCUCACAAAAUAUCAUAAUAACCAGCCCAAACAAAGGAUACAACAAGUAUCAAUAAGAAAUGAAAGGAAACAGAGAUAUAACACACAAUAAGACUGUGACUGAGUACAAGACAUUAAUUAGCAGUCAAUUCAACAAAUAUACAACCGCUGCCCAAAAAUAAUUUCAUAUGGCCUAAGCAUGGUUUGUAACAUGAAAGGCAGUCAAUUGCUCAAAGACAAGGAAAUAUAAGUAAUAACAAUGGCUAUUCUACUUUACAGGCUUACGAGACGGACCAAGUCACAAUCUCUCACGGUGCAUGCUCACACGCCCGUCACCUAGCAUGUAUGUCACCUCCAAAUAUCACAUUAUACAAAUUCUCGGGGUUUUAUACCCUCAAAACCAGAUUUAAGACUGUUACUUACCUCAAUCCGAGCAAAAUCCUACUCCGCAAUGCAUUUGCCUCUCAAAUCGGCCUCCAAAUGUCCCGAAUCUAGCCACAAGCAAUACAAUACGAUCAAUAUAUGCUAAAGGGAUCAAUUCCACAAUAAAACUAUUGAAUUAGAACCAAAACCCGAAAUCGGCUCAAACCCGGGGCCCACGUCUCAAAAUCCGACUAAAGUCACAAAACCCGAAAGCCCAUUCACUCACGAGUCUAACCAUACUAAUUUCAUCAAAAUCCGACAUUCUUUGGUCUCUCAAAUCCCCCAAAUCCACUCUCCAAAAUUCCAAGCCCUAACCCCCAAUUUUUACUUCAAAACCCUACUAAUUAUGUGAGAAAUCAACGGAAAAACACCAUAGCUAAGGAUAAUUAGGCUCAGGGAACUUACCUCAGUGAUAACCCUCAAAUUUCCUUCCAAAAAUAACUCCAAAAGCUCCAAAGUCCGUGUUCCAAAUUGUGAAAAUGAGAAAAAAUCUCGAAGUCAUCUAUUUAUACUUUCUGCCCAGCAAAACCACACAUGCGGUCCAAUAUCCGCACCUGCGGAGCCGCUUCUGUGGUUGGGAACUCUACUUCUGCGAAAACUCACUUAACACACUGGCCCCGCACCUGCGUCCCAGGUCUCGCACCUGCGGACGCGCACCUGCGCAUUUCCCUCCGCUUCUGCGGAAACAGCCAAACUCCUCUCUUCCGCAUCCGCGUCUCAGUCUCGUAUCUGCGAGCUCGCAGAUGGGUCCCCCUUCUCGCACCUACGAUUCCAAUCCAACCCAGCCUUGCCCACAUCUGCGACUUCCUACGCACUUCUGUGGGCCCGCACCCGCGGGCCUCCCACCGCAGAUGUGAAAACACCAGAAUAAUCUGCCAAGCCUAAGUCCAAAACUUCCUUCCGUUGAGCAUCCGAAACACCUCCCGAGGCUCUCGGGACCUCAACCAAAUGUACCGACUAGUCAUAUAAGCCCAUACAAACUUAGUGGAACCUUCGAAUCACUCAUAACAAUAUCAAAACAUCAAAUUACCCCCGGAUUCAAGCCUAAGAACUUCUAAACUUUCGAAUUCCACAAAUGAUGCCGAAACCUACCAAACCACAUUCGAAUGACCUCAAAUUUUAAACACACGUCACAAGUGACACUAUGAACCUAUUCCAACUUCCGAAAAUCCAUUCCGACCCCGAUAUCAAAUUUUUCACUGCCGACCAAAAUCGCCAAAUUUCCAACUUUCGCCAAUUCAAGCAUAAUUCCACUACGGACCUCCAAAUCACAUUCCGGACGCGCUCCUAAGUCCAAAAUUACCUAACGGAGCUAACAGAAUCAUCAAAAUCCAAAUCUGAGAUCAUUUACACUUAAGUCAACAUUCGAUUAACUCUGAAACUACUCCGGACCCGAACCAACUAACCCGAUAUAUCAUAAUAUAACUGAAGAAUACGGAAGAAGAAGAAAUAGGGGAAACAUGGCUAUAACUCUCGAAACGAUCGAUCGGGUCGUUACAAUUAAAUAUUUGAUCCUGCCACCCCCAAUCGCAAACCAGACAAAGGUGCAAACCUUGUCUAAUUUUCAUUUUUUAUUGUGCUUUUUAUUUCCUUUGUCCCGGUCAUUUUCCUUUUUGGCUACCUCCCAAUUUUCUAUUUGUCGCUUAUAAUUUUUUAUAUGUUUUCCUCUAUUCUCUUAUUUUAUCUCUAAUCUUUAGCAAAAAUACUCAAAAAAGAGCCUCAUAUAUUUAAAAUACCGUAAAAUAAUAAUUUCUCUUAAUUUAAAUUUUUUAAAUUUUUUUUCAAAAUCAAAAAACUUGGGUCUUGAUAGAAAUUUUGGAUUAAGAUCAAAUUUAAUUUUUAUAAUUUAUUUUUUAUUAUAACAUAAAAACUUUUGUUAUUCUAUGAUUGUUAAAUACAAUUUAACUAUCUUUACUAUUAAAUUAUGGUGAAUAUUUCGUAAGUAUUGCUUAGAAAAAUAUUGAGAUUUUUUAUUUAAAUUUUUGGGAUCUUGUAGUUUAUCUAAUUUUGCAUUUACUUAUGGUGUAUAAUUUAUUUAUUGAAGAUAUUUUUAUUUUUUUCUUAUUCUGAUUGGUGAAAUUCCCUUAUUAAAGAUAUUUUACUUGUGCAAAUUUACUUUUAGCAUAUAAAAAAAGAUGCAGUUCCUUGUAAAAAAUAUUGAUUUUAUUUGUAUUGUUAAUAAUGAAGUGUGAUUCCUUCUUUAAAAUGCUAAUUAUAUUUGCUUCUUGAUGUUUGAGAUGUAAUUUUUGUACAACAACAUACUGAGUGAAAUCUCACAAGUAUUUUCUGGGAAAGAGAUGUAAUUUUCUAAUUUUAAAUAAAAAAUACAUAUUAAUUGCUUGAAUAAACUAAUAAAUAAAUAAAUCGGACAAACGUUCCCGAACAAACUCUAUACUCCCUCCGUUCCAAUUUAUGUGAACCUGUUUGACUGGGCACGAAGUGUAACAAAAAAUAAAUACUUUUGAAAUUUGUGGUCCUAAACAAGUCAAAAAAGGGUCGAGAAUAUUUGUGUGGUUAAAAAAAUUUCUCAUUAAGGAUAGAAUUGGAAAUUUAAAAUAAAUUAUUUCCAAAUUUAGAAAGGGGUCUUUUUGGAACGGACUAAAAAGGAAAUAAGUUUACAUAUAAACUGGAACGGAGAAAAUAUUAGUUAUUUUAAGGUGUACAUUAAAAAAAAAUUGUGACACCCGCAUCUUCAAAUCCUAAAUCCUCCUCCGGUUAAAUUCUCUAACGCUCUUAAGAUUUUAUGUCCAACUUCAUACUGAAUAUUAAGUAAUCCAUUCUCCGUACACUGCCAGAUGGAGCCGAAGGAGUACUUUAAUCUGCUAGGUCUGGCGAUAUCAAUUUUAAAAUAGUCAUAACUGUAGAAAUGAUUCCAUUACAAAAAGAGAUAAAUCUCGACGUUAAAUUGUUUUCAGGAAAAAAAAGAGGGAAGUUUCUUCUAAUCUUCAUGUUUUGCUGGAUCACUCCCUGGCCCUCUCCUAAAAUGGAUUGAUUUAAAGAAAAUCAAAUAAGAAAAAGAGAAAACAAAAGGCUAGCUAGAGAGAGGAGGAGAAUAUUAACACGUAUAAUAAUAUAACUUAGUUUAUUCAUCUCAUAAUCUCUGCAUUUUGCAAGGAGAUCGAAACUGAACAAAACAUACACAAUGACAGAAAUAAAAUAUAGGGCAAACAAUAUCAAUAACUUAGAUAACAUGGAGCUACAAGAACUUCGCCUCCUGUGGGGCUUUAUUAUUUACUCUUUUCUUCUUCUUCUUCUUCUUCUUCUUCUUCUUCUUUUCUCAUUGUCUCUCGAAAAUGGAAAAAGCCUUUCUUUUAGCUCAGCAUUCUGCUUUUCCUGCAUAAGAAUAUACAUUGUGUGAUUAGGUUCUUAGUAAUAUCAAAAGAUACUGAAAAUUCUGAACAGCUAGUGACUAAUAAAUGAAGCUAAGAAAAUAAGAAGCAGAGAGCGCAGUUCUUUAUAAUUUAUAUUAUAUUAAUGUUUUGCAUAAAGGCAGUUAUGCAAUUUGCUUUGCAUUCUUGACAUCAUUAUGAAAAUGUCUUAAUUAAUUUGGCUUUAUUACCUUCAACUUUGUGAUGUCACUUCUUAGUAAUGGUAGGGAGGAGGAGGAGAAGCGUAAACAUAGGGGUGGUGUGGUGGUGGAGACUUGUAGACUGGAGUUGGUGGUGGAGGUGACUUGUAAACUGGAGUUGGUGGUGGUGGGGACUUGUAAACUGGGGUGUGUGGAGGAUAGUAUGGUUUCUUGGAUGGUGGUGGCGACUUGUAAACGGGAGUUGGUGGUGGUGGCGACUUGUAAACCGGGGUGUGUGGGGGAUAGUAUGGCUUCUUGGGUGGUGGUGGCGACUUAUAAACUGGAGUGUGUGGAGGGUAGUGUGGCUUCUUGGGUGGUGGUGGUGAUUUGUAAACGGGAGUUGGUGGUGGUGGCGACUUGUAAACCGGGGUAUGUGGGGGAUAGUAUGGCUUAUUGGGGGGUGGUGGCGACUUAUAAAUUGGAGUGUGUGGAGGGUAGUGUGGCUUCUUGGGUGGUGGUGGUGAUUUGUAAACGGGAGUUGGUGGUGGUGGCGACUUAUAAACCGGGGUGUGUGGGAGAGAGUAUGGCUUCUUGGGUGGUGGUGGUGACUUGUAAACCGGAGGGUGUGGAGGGUAGUAUGGCUUCUUGGGUGGUGGUGGAGAUUUAUAAACUGGUACAGGAUGAUAUGGUGUUGGUGAAGGGUGGUAUGGCUUCUUAGGUGGUGGUGGAGACUUAUAUACAGGGUGAUGGGGUGGUGAUGGAUAGACAUGCACUGGUGGAGGAGGAGACUUGUAGAGGUAUGGUUUCUUAGGUGGUGGUGGAGAUGAGUAUUGAUAAUUUGCUGAGCUUUCAGAAGCUAAGCUCAGCGACACUAAAACCACUAAAAGAGAGGCAAAUAGAGAGGCCAUUUUCCCCAUCUUUGAAACAAAUGAGAAAAGUUGUUGUCCUCUUAAGCUUCACUCCGACCCCUUUAUAUAGCUUUCAAUUAUACAAUUACCCUUUCCAAGAUUUUCAUGAAUGAAGGUAAAAGUCUCACUAGAUUACUUAAAACCUACCAAAGUAAAAAAGCUAGAGUAUGCAUUUUGAUUUGGUUUUGUCAUGUUGUCGGCUCAAAUUGACUUGAGUUGGUAUACUCUUUUUGUUCGAUAGAGGCUGCAAGCUAAGCAUAGCUGGAAUUAAUAAACUAUUAUGGCAGCUAUACUAUUUCUGAUGCAAUAAUUUAAAGAGAAAAGUCUCCUUUACUUUCUAUCUUUGUAUACAGUACCGAAGCUUUGAAAAACAAGUGUGGAUGCCUCAACUUUGCACGAUUUCAGUUGCAGAAAUCUGAGCAAUAGCUUUUUUUAUAUGUCUCUUUUAACUUUAAUGAAUGUUCUUAUUUAUCCUUAAAAUUGGAUAACAAUUAAAUUUAUAAUAUUGUUCUAAGUACACGUAAUUUCACUUAAUACCAAUUGAUAAAUAUGAAGAUUAAUAAUAGAAAUAAACUAUAAAGUAAAGCAAACUUGUGUUAGAAUGGAACUCAGCCCUCAAGUUUGGAUACCCUCGAACUGGUUGAUGUAAGAACAAUUAAAAUAUAACAAGCUGAUGAACAAUAGUAUAAACGAGAAAGAGAAUUACAUUUCUUUGAUAUCUGUGAACCAUGUGUCUUCCAAAUGAUUAGAACCCCCUAUAAAUAGUAGAGGAAUUUCACUUAUGGUAUAAUUCUAAUUACAGAAGUAAAUUCAUGAUUAGCUAAUUAACUGUUUCUAAUUUGAUUCGUUUCGAGAUUUAUGCCAUGAUCCUCGACCAGUCGUGGAUAUCUCGCCUUUCUGUUAUUGUGCUAUCUUCGAUCUUGCUCGAUGUCUGUCUCAUUUGGUUUCGAUCACUACUAGCCUCGAUCUCGACCGGUACCUCGAUUAUGAACUCAGUACCUUAUCCUCGUGAUUUAGUCUGUUCUGUUACGAGGCCAUUCUUCGAUGCAACCUCCUAGUCUCGGUCAAAUAGUAAAAUCGGGUGGGCCCGAUUUUAACCGUAUACAGAUAGUCUCCUCGUUUUUUGGAGUGAAAUGACAAGAAACGAAUUGAGCCUUCAAUUUUCUAUCUCGACCUGUAAUGACGACAUCCUCAUGACGUAAGCGACGGGAGUGACCAAAACGUCCCGUCAGUACAGUUUUCCAAGUCAUUAAUGAGUGUUAGUUGGUUGUCGGCCACUAGUGCCUUUGAACUGUCGCCGUGAGUCCAAUAAAUAGAUCACUUCCUCAUUGAUUCAAACUUUACUUUCACUUCCUUCUAAUAUCUAAAGCUUUUACAUCUCUUAAGUUCGUCCCUUUUACAAAUCUUCAGGCUUUGCUGUUAAUCAUGUCUCAAAUGUCAAGUCCUAUUAUCUUCCUCUUCUUCAAACUUACACAAGAAUGGCAAAAACAUCGAAAAUGGUACCACAAAAAGAAGUUGCUUCAUCUUCUCAACCGACCGACGGAAAAACGCUGGUGGAUCCCCGUCUUGAGGAAUGCAUUCUUGGGGGUGCGUGCUAAACUCCGAUUUUAAGACCGAUAAAGCCUCGUCGAUUCCUGAUCGAUGCGAGCCAAUGUCGAGGUAUAUAUGCUCAAUAACUGAGGGAUACCUUAAGCAGGUAAAGAAAGACCGCAACUGGGAAGGCAAAGAGGUGGUGAUCCCGACCCCCGAAAAAGAUAUCACCACUCAUGUGGAAGGGUUUCUAAGUGUUUACACUUACCCUUUCACGUUGGGCCCCCUCGACCCCGUCAUCGUUAAUUUUUGCCGUCAAUACCAAAUAACCCUAGGCCAAAUCCAUCCUUCCUUUUGGCAAAUUGUUAUUCUGCUCCGAUUCUUCGUGAGCAAAGUCGAGGGGCUCCCUUUCAUCCUCGAUCACCUUAUCAGAUUGUAUAGCCCCGCCUCUAUCGAGGCGGGUUAAUAAAACUCCAAUGUAUGGCUACCAAAGUGUUGUUCUCGAGCAUAGACGAGGACAAGGAUCGAGGCUGGAUGAGCCGGUUCGUUCGAGUGUGGACUUCCGACCUAAUCCUAGCCAAGAAGAUGCCAUUUCCUGAGAAAUAGAACAUGAAUCGUAAGUACCGUCUCACUGUUAGCUUCCAUGUAUUUUAUUUGUUCCUUGGUCUUUUCUCAUUGAUAUCUUUUUCCAUGAUGUAGCGGUCGCUUGGAUGCCCCGUACGAUUCCCGACCUUGAGAGCUGGGUUCGGAACCUGGCCUCGACCUCUACAUACGCCGAGCGCUCAUGGCACGAUUUAACAAAGGGCCGAUGGGAGGCCAAGAAUCAUGGUAAGCCCACUUUUUGUGUAUUUGUUGAUUUGAUUAAGAUGCCAUUCUUCUACUUAUUCAAUUUUCUCGUGUACAAGCCUGGGCAAUGAUGCGGUCAUGAGACCCCCGUCUGGUGAGGAGGAGACUUCGACCCCGGUUUCGAAGCCGAUGAAGGAUAAGAAGAGGAAAAUGACCUCAACCUCCGAGGAUCCAAAGCCUAAGAAGAAUCCGGUUCGUAAGCCGAAGAAAUAUACCGUUGCCCUGCCUGUGGAUGUGAUUCAAUGGCUAAGGAAGGAAGAAGAAGAGGAUGAAGAUGAUGGUUCGGAACUGGUGGCCUGAGUGAAAAAAACCAUCGAGGCCCCAAAGGCCGCUGAAUCGGUGGUGGUUGAGGAGAUUCCGCCUCGGCGUCUUAGAAAAGGACUCGGGCAAAGUCCCCAAGUCGUUGAAGAACAAAGAUGCCUCCCGUCGAGAUGAGCAAAAGGCGGGUAUAUCUGAAAGGGUCGGCUUCGAAGCCCUUCGCAGCGAGGAGAACACCCCAAGUGGCUCACUUGGGGCAAUAGAUAUUGGAGACUCAUUGAUUCUCCCUGCGUUUUCCGAGGAGGCAAUUCGGGAGGCCCAAGCUACGAGGACUCCCGAAGUAGACAGGGCCCAUGGAGAGGAGGACCCCUUCCGUGGUUACUUUAUUGGGGUCGAGGAUGCUACCGACCUGAGUGAAGCAUCGAGUCUCUUCACUAAGGCUCAACAAGUCUUGAUUCCGGUGAGUCUCAAAUCCCUUUGUCAAUAUCAUACUUAGUUUAUUUCUUCUCUUCAUGUCUAAUUUCCUUUCUUUUUUCCGUAUAGGCUUUGGCGCUCUAUUAGGAGGCGUUCGCAAAGUCCCGAGCAAAGCUGAGCCGAUGUGAGGCUGACCUCCAAGGGCUCACAGAGGAGAGAAAUGCCCUUAAACUUCUCAGUAGGCAAAAAGAAGAGGAUAUCAAGGACCUCCGAGCCGAGUUGGCCAAAGCUCACCAAGAUCAGACCGACCUGAUCGAGCAGGUAAUGAAAAUCUUAAAAGCUCAUGGGCUCGAUUCGGGAACGGUGGCUAACAUUUCAAUCUCACAGCUGAAGCAGAAGGUCAAGAGGAUCGAGCAGUUCUGCGAGGAGGUCAACAUAAUGAAGGCGGAGACCUUGGGGUGGAAACAAGUAUGGACCACUUUGCUGCUGAAAAAGAGGCUGCUCGAGCCUAAUUGUCAUCGGUCGAAAGUCAACUUUGAGGCAUGAAGGAGAAGAGCUCAGCUCAGGCAAAGAAAAUAGAGGAGCUCAAGGCUCGGUUGGCUUCCGAACUUGCAAAGGCCAAAUCCGAACCUGAAAAGGCAAAGGCCGAGGCAGAGGC
RNAcentral lists this long non-coding RNA (44958 nucleotides) under Nicotiana tabacum (common tobacco). Its description in RNAcentral is "long non-coding RNA (NTAB_LNC000558)". The record is from RNAcentral. Lineage: Eukaryota; Viridiplantae; Streptophyta; Magnoliopsida; Solanales; Solanaceae.